UAUGAAUAUUUUGUUGAAGUUUUCUUUGUGUUUUGAUUUUUCAAAUUUCCAAGUCAGUUAUUUAUAUAUGUAAUGACAGGAUAGCUGAAAUUUACUGGCAUUUCAAUAUAUUAUUAGUUUUUGAUCAAACCGUUCAAAUUUCAUAUAAACUUUUGAGCCGGUAAUUAUGAUGUUGGACCCAUUCAUAAUCUUUUCUUCUCAUGAUAGGAAGUCAAUUAUGUUGAUGCCUCAUUUUCUGAUGUUUGAUGAUCCUAAUUACCAGGGUAGUUCCAUGCAAGGCCUUAAUUACAUAUAUGAUGCUGAAUCAGUCCAUAAUGUCAGAGCAAAAUUUAUAAAAAGUUUCUUUGAGAUCACUAGAAUUGUCACAGAGUGACAGAACACACCAACUUUCCAUUCAUCAAAGCCAGAUUCUGAUAUCAUCAGAAUCUUCACAAAUCAUACUACUUCCAAGAACCUUCUUAAAAUCCUCGAGUCACACCUGAAUCAUACUGUGUCUAAAUGUGCAAAUCCCCUCCUGGCUUUUUAAGAAAACAAAAAGCUCUACAGGAAGAACAGAUUCGAUCCCAGCAACCAGAUCUGCUGUAGGAACCCAAUCAGAUGGCAAGUCCAAGAAACUAAUGCAACAUAUCCACGCACUUUUGGACUUUUAGAUUGUCAGCGCUUUUGGAUUUUUAGAUUGUAUCAUCAUCAUCACCGCCGCUGCCGCCACUAUCAUCAUCAUCCAUGCCCCUGUGCAUACAGAUUUUCAUGUAUUCACUCUGUUAAAGUUGCAAACUACAUAAGUUAUUCUCAUAAAAUAAGUGUGGCUGCAUCCUUAUCAUCAUCUCCCUCUUCAUUUGUUGGCAUAACCUGACAUUGGAUUAUAACAUAGAAAUCGUGCUCUCAUAUCUUAUAGCAUAUAUAAUGAGAAAGCCCUGAGGCCAGCUUCAUAUGGCCAGCCUCCAAGGCCUGAAGCUGCAACACUUGAGUUUUUCCCUCAACACCACCUACCAAAAAAAGAAGGAAACCUGGACUCUCGAGCUCCUGGUUCUGCAUUUCUUUCUGUUUCGACAUUGGAUUAUAACAUAUUCCAACAUAGAAAUCGUGCUCUCAUAUCUUAUAGCAUAUAUAAUGAGAAAGCCCGGACGCCAGCUUCAUAUGGCCAGCCUCCAAGGCCUGAAGCUGCAACACUCAAGUUUUACACUCAAGUUUUCCCUCAGCACCACCUACCAAAAAAGAGAAGAAGGAAACCUGGACUCUCGAGCUCCUGGUUCUGCAUUUCUUUCUGUUUCUCACGAGUACAUCUCACCUAGAAGGAGAAAAGAGGGGGAGAAAGAAGACCGGAGGGAGUGGGAGUAUAUAGCUCACAUGCCCUAGCACCCAACUCCCUUUGGGCUUCUUUAGCAAGUGUUCUUUUCCCACCCUCCCUCCUAAUGAAAUCAUGUGUUCUGCAUGUGCAUGUCCUGGACUAUAGUUACACCUUAACCAUAAUUUGUUAGUAUAUACACUUGCAUCUCAAGGUGUGCUGAGAGGCAGCAAAUCACCUUAUUUUCUCUUGCCCUCAAGCCCAGGAGGGUAAGGGUAAGAAUCCCUACUCUAAUUGGCAAAUAUUAAAGCGUCAUGAAUCGUGCCCAUGCUGAUUAAGGUUACAUGUACCAUGUCACAAUAUAUGGAAUCUUGGCAUGCACCAGGACCAAAAAGACGCUCAUAAAAGGCAAGCUAAGGUACACUACAUGAUUCAAUGUUUUAUUUAAACAUAAUCUAAAUUGCUAUAUAGACAUGUUUAACACAAAUAAGGAUUUAUGAACUGAUGAUCAGAAAUCUAGGAUCAAAAAUAAUUCUAAAUGUCUGUCUUGGUUGAUAUUUAACAUGUGCGCUAACUAUUUUAAGUUUUUUCAUCAUAAAGUUAACAUGACAAAAGUAUGUUUAUGUAUUAGCAAUACAAAUAAACUCAUAAUUCAUGAUAAAAUUUAUGGCAGAUUUGUAUCUAGUUUACAUCAACAGAGUUGUAAGUAGCACGGACAUUUAAAAGUAUUUUGGUUGCUUAUACCAUGAAAUUGUAGGAAGAUUAUAUAAAUCAAGAUAUCUUAGUUCUAACCUCUAUAGGAUGACAAUAUUUGUGGUUAGUGUGUUCGGUGCAGAAAUUUGGCGUUCAAAUCCUCAAGGAAAACAAGGCAACAAAGCAUAUACAAACGACCAAUAUACCUACUUGAGAUUUUGGAUUUAUACGUCUUAAAACAUAUAUAUAACAAAGCUUUGGAUUUUACUACGCAAAGGCAUUUAUCUUCCAUAAAAACCUCAGCUGUACCAAAACCACAUCAACUCCAAUAAAGUUUAAAAUCCACUUGUACAGAGGUCUGAGGGAAAUGUGAAAAUUGUACACCCUGAUCAGGUGCUGUCCAGCUGCUGCUUAUGAUCCAGUUACAUGUUUUUAAACAAUCCUCUUUUAAUUUCUUAGUCAUCACAAUUUGCUUGCCUUUAUUAUAUGCAUUACUCUCUGACUUUCGAAUUAUUUGUACAAUCUUUUCCAGAUUCCAAAAUUGCCUGAUAUCGAUCCACUGCUCCAGAACAAUGCGUUACUUGCAUCCAAUGUCAUGGACCGUGCGCCAAUAAAUGAGCUUGCUGGAUGAACUGCUUAGUGCAUAUGCUGCAAAUGAUAUAUUAAUGUUCUAUAUAUUCUUGGUGCUUUUGUAUGUUAUACUGUAUAUAAAAAUCUUGCAUACCUUAGAUAAAGCAGCCAAAGUCCUUGUUUCUUUUAGAGCCCAAGGGAGUGUUGGUAGGUUAAAGGGUGCAGUCCUUUUUCUCCACAUUCACCAUUUUUCCUAUAUGUUUACAAGUAGGACUCAGAGAAAUCAAAAUAACAAAUAUUUUCAGUGUCACUCUGUGUGUGUGUUUGUGUGUUUGGGGAGCUACCAUUUCUUGCAACUGCAGUAACAAAUCAGCAUUCACCUUUCUCAUUUUCCAGCUACUGUUGGCAAACAGAAAUCUUGAUUAUGAGCUGUAUUUUGUCUGCAUUUUACGUUUAUUUGCUAGUUCCUUGUAAGAAAAAAGAAAUGCAGCUAAUAUCUGCUCUCAAUCACUAGUAUCAUGCUUGAAUCUGUUAAAUGAAUUCGACUGAAUUACCAUCAUAUUCCAAAGGAUAUACAUUUCUUCCAUCUCAAAAAUAACUCAGACAGGAGAUACAAAUAUCCACAUCCACGUUCAUACCGCAUGUUAAGAAAGGCACGAAUGACCUUUUGGUUAUUCCUUCUCACUCUGUUUGCAAGCGAAUCUAUCUAUUGCCGAGGUUUUCUCCUGCGUCAGCCUUUUUGUCGGACAUUGGUCACAGCCUCGGGAAUUGGAGUAUUCUAGAAGAGCAAGCAGGAGAAGGAAAUGAGCUCAACUGCCAUGGUAGUAGGAGGUAACUCCUGAUUGCAACUGAGCAUCGAGAACUAUGAAUGAGAAAAUAUUGCCCUACGUUAAUAUUUGUGAGGAAAUGCUAUGAAUUCUAUAGAUGUUAUCAAGAAGUAUAUACAUGUCAGUGCAAAAUCAAUAUUGAUUGCAUCCAGGUAUAAAAUUAAGACCCGCAACCAAUGGAUAUGAUGAUGUCAGAGCACAGAAAACAAAGCUGGCGGAUGAUCCUCCAUCCACGUACCCUUCCAAUAGCAGGCCGUUGAAGAGUUAACAGCUACUUCAAGGCAAUGACCGAAUGACAUGCAGCAUAAAGUUCUUGGUGCUGUCCGAUAUUUAGAGCGAAGAAGCUGACUCAGGGUCUCCAACACUGCUAUUUUCUUUUCUUUUUCUGGUGCCCCCAUAGCUGCAACCAAAAAUGGCAUCUAACCAUGACAUGAGGAGGUCUAAGAAACCAAGUCUAUAAAGCAGCCAGCCUGAGGUACACGGUGUUCCUAGCACCAUUCAGUUUUUACAUACCGAAAGAAAGCGUAGAGGGGGAGGAUAGAGAGAUGUAGAGGGAGAGGAGAAAGAGAUGUCGAGAGAAAGAUAUGAUCUUUUGUUUUCUUUACUUCAAAUAGUGUCAUAGCCCAUCUCUAGUUGAAGGUGGCUAUGUAUACAGCUUAUAUACAGCUAAUAAUAUAAUUUAUAUACAGCUAACACAUACAAAUUUAAGGAAGCUUCUAAAGGCGGAAAUGGUAGCUUGACAGAGAGACUAAACGCGGAAAUCGUACACAUAACUAUUCCAUGCUCUUUUUUUUGCCACUGCAGUACUGCUUCUUUAAAUAAAAUAAUUAAAUCCAUCAAGCAGCGAGACAUCCGCUUUGACCUUCGGAGAAGCCAUCUCAUCAUAUCUCAACUCGUCAAGAAACCUCUGAAGCUGCUUCUUGGAACCACCAGUGAAGCUGAUCUCGCAUUCUGAAACAUGAAGAUCACCAACUGCACCAAAUACAUGCAAUUCAAAUCAAACCCACGAACGGAAAUACUUCUCGUGUUAUGUUCGAGGCAGUUGAAAGGCCUCUUGCUCCUCCCAGCAAUCUUCCGAUAGCAGGGCAUUGGGAAUGAGUCUAGUACUUCUGUAGUCAUCUACCUAAAACAUGUAUCCCCCCUCUUCAAUCCCCUUCCUCUCUUAUCUCUCUUCCUACCAGGGGCGGCCCAAUGCAUUUAGGGGCCUAAGGCGAACUCAUCAAGAAAGGCCUUUUAUUUUGAAAAAUAAUAAAAAAAUUAAUAAGUGCAAAAUUUUGAGGAAGUAUUUCAAUUACUUUAUAACAUCUACUCAUUGUCAUAGAGCUAGCUAAAAUGGUUCAUAGAUAAAAGAAUAAUUUUUUCAAUUUAUCUUUUUUGUACAUUUAAUAUAUACUUUCUCAAGGUUGUAGAUUUGUUGCAUGUCUAUCCAUCACAUAAUAUGCAAUACUUAAGGCCUAGUAGUCAGCCCUUCACCUAUGUGUCAAAUCUAAGUUAAACCUUACUUUAUCCACCAAAAGAAUACAUAAUUAUAUUUCUUGCAAGUUUUCAAGCAUACGGCAAUUUUGCAUCAAUAACAGCCACAACCACCUUGAUAUUCCCAAAUAAUUCUUAUCGCACCAAUGAAAACUAUCAAAGGUAAAAGCUAAAGCACCUAAAUCCUAUAAAAUAUUUCAUAACUAUCCCAUUUGUCCCUAUUCCCCUUCUCUACGUGUAUAUCCUACUGCAAAUAUCAACUAUACCAUGUAAGCACCAAUGCAUGUCAGAAAAUUUAAAGAAUUAAUAUGAAGCAUAUGUUCCAUGAAAUUAUCUUACUUGAUGCCACCUUGGCACAGAGUUCCUACGAAGAUAGCCACUCAACUCCCAUCUCCUUUCUCUUACUUUCCUGAGAGAUUGAUGCGUCGCCCUCUUUUAGCCCUCCAUCGAUCUGUCCGAGAUGGCCUUCUCCUUCUCCUUCCCUCUCUCUUCUCCUUUCUAUCUGAGGCCGACACCCCCUUCUUUGCACGGUGCCCUUGAGAAUCUCGCCCUCUUCUUUCUCUAUCUUCACUUUUUUUGAUAUGAGAAUUAGAAAAAGUUUCAAAAACCUAUUCUCUAUUUGGAAAAACAUUAGCAAACAACUUGAAGCUUUUUGGAGUUGUCUGUCGUUUAAAUUGAAAAAUGGCACGAACAUCCGCUUUUGGAAGGAUAGCAGCAAUCAAUAGGAUUUUCCUAAUCCUCCCUUUCCGAAAAGAAGAUGUUAAAAUUUUUUUUCCUUUCCGCAGGGAUCAGGAGAUUGGAUCUAGCCAUAAGAAGAAUGCUUGGCUGAUAAAUAACUCACUUUUUGGUCUUCGACCCCCUCCGUCACUACGAACAACUCUGAUCAGUGUAAUGGGAUGUGUUUAUUUAUUUAUCUCUUGACUCGAAAUGGAAAUAGGUUGGAUUUGAAAAAAGAUCUUAGAGUGUCUAGGGUUGGGCUGGCCGGGGCCUUGAGAAUCUGGUCCUCUUCUUUCUCGAUCUUCACUUUUUUUUGAUAUGAUUGUCAACCUUUUCCCAUGGAUCUGGCCCUCCUGGUAUUCUUCUCCCUCCCUUUCGCGUUUGCUGGCCCCUCCUCUCCUUCCUUGCUUUUCCUCUCUCUCUCUCUCUCUUUCUUUGUAGAAUGCGCCUCCUUGAUCAACCUCUCCUUCCUCNNNNNNNNNNNNNNNNNNNNUUCUUCUCCCUCCCUUUCGCGUUUGCUGGCCCCUCCUCUCCUUCCUUGCUUUCCUUCUCUCUCUCUCUCUCUUUCUUUGUGAAUGCGCCUCCUUGAUCAACCUCUCCUUCCUCUUUACCAGCCCUCGGGACCAAGCCCUCCCCUUCUUUCUCCCUCCCUUUCUCUUUCUUUCUCUUUGGCAUAAAUUCCUCCCGCUGAUUUUAGCUUCCCUUCCUAAUCCUCUCUCUGCAUUCCCUUCCCUCCACUCUCUAUGUGUAGGAUCGCCGUCAGUAAGACACCAUGCUCUACCGUAGUUCGGUAUGUUGUCUCUCUUAAUAUUUUCCGGUAACUUGGUCCUAGUGUGUCAUUCCCCUGCAAAACUUCUGGUGUCAAGGUGGAUUACUUACUGAAAUUUGAAAUUUAAUUUUCAAAACUUGAAUGGUGUUUACCAUUGGAUGGAGGGUGUUUUCAAUUUUCAAUUUUGAAUUUUAUAGUUUAUGUCGGAUGGAAGUACAGAAAUUUUUUACUUUUUUUUUACAUAUAUUUCUCUUAUUAUACAUUUCAUUAUCUUAAUAAAAUAUAGGAUAGGUCUCCUUCUCUUUUCAUCAAAAUAGAUUCCUACAUUAUCUUCCAAUUAUUUUCCAUUCUCUAAAUAGCUUUAUAUCAGUACUUUCUAGGCAUAAAGAUUCAUCCAUAGAAUUUACUCCUGAAUGAUUUUUUUUCUUUUAUUUAAAAUAGAUGUGAUGAUAUUCUCCAAAACUUAACAAGGAGUCAUUGACUAGGUAUGAUUUUUACUCGGCCUUUUGAACCGUUCUAGAAUUUGCAUAUUGUUGUCUCAAAAAUAGAAUGCACAUGUUGGUUAAAGUUUAAAAAAGAGUGGUAAGUAGCUAGAAUCCUAAAUUAUAGAUACAUGUUCAUAAUCGGAGAUAAUGUAUAAAUAAUUUGUUGAAAUUUGAAGGAUAACAAAAUGAUGCAUGGUGCUGUCCUGGUCACUUUUAAACCUCACACCUACUCAAGUUGCUUCGCCAAUUUGAAUUUUGAAUUCGAUAAUCUAUGUUAGAUAGAAGUAUGGAAAUGUUUUAGUUUUUUUGUACUCUUUUUUCUUAUUAUAAUUUUUUUAUCUUAAUAAAGUAUGGGAUAGGUAUCCUUUCCUCUUCAUCAAAAUAGAUUCCUACAUUAUCUUUCAAUUAUUUUUCAUUCUCUAAAUAGCUUUAUAUCUAGGACCGGCAGCGGGUCAGGUUAUACUCGACCAUAUUCGUUUCCAUAUCAAAUUCAGAUUAAAUUCGAAUACUAUUUUUUUGGUCUAAUUGGAUUCAUAUAUAGAUCCAAAUAGUCAAUUCAAAAUCUCCCAAAUACGGAUACGGAUGUAGAUAUAUCUAAAUUUUUUGGAUCCGGAUCCAGAUAUCCAUAUAACAAGAGUAAGUGAAAAGAAGAAGUGUAAAUUAAGUUAAAUCAAGGAACCAAUUAAGUGAUUAACCAAACCUAAACUAAAAGAAAUCUAAAUAUCGGAUGACAUUCACUUAAGACAGUAACUCGUAUACAAAAUACCAAUAAAAUUCUUCGAAUCACCUCACACGCUUGAAAGAAUCAAGCCUUUUGUUCGUAUAUUUCAUCCCUCUUUUUUUUUAUUGUCUUUAAGCAACUAGAGUUUCGAAAAUUUCGUCCACUUCCUAGUUUCCACUUGGCGAUUGUAACCGAUGACAACCAUGAAACGUUUUGGAGGCGUCAUAUAUCCCAUCUACUUUGAUGAAGAGUAACCUUGAGCGGUAUAUCUUUUAUAAAAUUGUUAAUUUUUAUUGUUAAUAAAUGCUUGUUAAAAUUAUAUUUUAAUUAAUUUUUUUUUAUGAUCAUGUCUUUAUUGCUAGUUUUCAUCAUUGAAUUUUUUUUCAAAUUUGAUUAAAUAUCUAAAAAGAUUUCCAAUUUAUAUCUAUAUUUGAAUAAAAAAAUAUGGAUAUGCUUAAUAUCCGAUUCAUAUCUGUAUCCAUUUAUAAUAAUAUGGAAGUGUUUAAUAUCCGAUUCAUAUCCAAAUCCAUUUUAAAAAAAUAUAGAUAUUAAUUUUGAUACCUAUUUAAUAUCCGUAUCCAUAUUUGUAUUUAUUAAAGAAUAUGAAUACAAAUAUGGUUAUAUCAAUAUCCAAUUUAUUUUCAGCCAUAAUUAUAUGGGUACCUUUUAGGCAUAAAAAUUUGUCCAUAGAGUUUACUCACCAUCAUCCUCGAUGAUUUUGUUUUUAUAUUAAAUAGAUGCGUUUAUAUUUUUGAAAACUCAACAAGGAGUCAUUGACUAGAAAUGAAUGUACGUGUUGGUUAAAGUUUAAAAAAGAGCGAUAAGUAGCUACAAUCCCAAAUUAUAGAGACACGCUGAUAAUCAAGGAUAAUAGAGGAAUAACUGGCUGCAAUUUGCAGGAUCCAAAUUAUUGUCCUGGUCACUUUUAAGGCUCGUUUGGUUUGCGGGAAGUAUUUUUCCUCCUAGGAAUAUGAUUCUUGGGAAGCAGAUUCUUAGGAAGAGGAUGCCUAGGAAAGUACUUUUGGUAUGUUUGGUUGACCAUGGAAAAGUGACAAAUUUCUAAAGUACUUAUAUUUGGUUGACCAUUCAUUUUCCUGGAAAAGUUAUGUAUAAUUUCUAUUAUAUCUUUAAUAAAAAUUAGGUCUUCAAUGCCUUUUUAAUGCUUUUUUAAUGCUGAAGGGCCUUUUUAGAAAAAAUAAAAUAGAUUUUUCCAUGAAAUGUGGGAAUCAUAUUUCCAUGGGAAUACAACUUUUCCGUCUUUUUUCUUUAAAAAUUCCAAUCAAACAAGAGGCAUCUUAUUACUUUUCCGUUGACCAUAUUUUUCCUCCUUCUUUUUCUGCGGACCAAACGAGCACUUAAACCUCACACCUACUCAAGUUGCUUUGCCAAUAUUUUAUCGGGCAAGGUCAAGUGCAUAGCUCGCUCGAUUCAAUGCACAAAGCAAGAAAAUGGGUAAAUUUGCUGCUGAGGAAUCCCAUAUAUCCAUUCGGAAUAAAAGAAAUGAAACAACAACAAAUCAAUACAGUGUUCAUGAGGCCUAAGUAUCUUAGGUAUCAAAUUACAUCCUAACUCCCCAUCAAUCUCUCUUCAUCACCCAUCUUCCUCAUCGCUGCUAGAAUCAGACUUGGAGGAAUUAUCCGACAAGAAAUGGGCCGGCAAGUUGGGGAACCUCAUAACUCUCCUCCCCCUCUCCGGCGACGCUGCCGCAGCCCCAGGCGGCGGCGGCAGCUUCUUCUUCUGCAGAUUCCUAGCAAUAUCCACACAGGCCCGAUCCACCAUCCCUAGGAAAUCCCUAACUAUUGUAAACAACUGAAGUGCAUGAGCUCCUUUGUCCUUGGAGGCCCCUGGUUGGUAGUACUCCGUAGUUCGCUUAACCAGCUCCAUUACCCCAACCUGCUCCUCUCUCAAUACCUCGAGCUCCUCCUCGGCCGCCUCCACGAACCCCCUCAUCUCCCGCACGAACCCACCGCUGCCGCAGCUCUCCAGGAACCGCCGAAUCUCUUUCACACGCGCUUCAAGCGACGAGCAUGUCGCUACGAGCUCGUCGUAGUCUAUCCCCGCCGCUUUCUUGACAUCGGCAAACUCCACACUGAUCCCCCCAACAAUGGGCAGCCCAAGCUUCAUGUACUCUUUUUCCUUCUCUUCCCUCUUCCCCGCGGGGCUCGUGGCCUCGCCGGAGUAAGCACCGCCUUGAUCACUCUUGUUCAUGCUGCUGCCGGAUCGGCGGAGGCUGUAGUUGCGGUUAACGGCGCAGCGCUUGCCUUCCGACCUGACGACCUCCUCCACAACGAAAUGGAGCAGCGUCGUGCUCCCGUCGGUGCUCUUCACGUCAGAAAGCUUGCAGAGGGCCUUGAGGUUGAAGGCCUGCGCGUUGCCCCGUGCUGUCCCGGCAUUCAUGCGGUUUCCGGCCUUCAGGACGGCCUCCAGUAGCUUCAAGAAGAGGCCGCGCUUCUUGAGCUCCUUGCAGGCCAGCUCGAGAGUCAGGAGGGACUGCUUGAGGUGGGCCACGUCCGGGCCGUAGUUGGCCCUGAAGAGCAUCGCAUCGAGGCGGGCGAAGGGGGAGGGGACAGCGCGCAGGAGGUGGAAGAGGAAGGACUCGGCGUCGGCGAGCUUGGAGGGGUUGCCGGAGAAGUCUCGGAUCAUGUCCUCCUCUUCCUUGCUCGGGGCAAGCCGGGAGAGCUUCUCGAGGCUGUCGGUGCUCAGGCCCCGGCCCUCCAGAAGGGCGUCGAGGAUGUCUUGACGGCUGAGGGCCAGCGAGCGGAGGACGAUGGCAAUGUUCUGGGACUUGCGGGAGUCGAGCAGGCAGAUCUGAGUGGCGGCGCCGCCGCCGGCGGUGGGGGAGGGGAAGGGUUUGGAGGUGUUAUUGGUUUCUCUGGGGGAUUUCCGGCUGGCAAGGGUGCCGAAGAGUGCUUCCAUGAUGCCUUCAUCAACCCUGCAUACCAAAUGAGCUUUGCAUUUAGAACGAAUAGUUUUCAUUGGAACGAUCAUUAAAUGCUCACAUAAUAACAGUCAAAAAGCAUUGUGAAAGCGAGCGAGGAUUUUAUUUGAGAGAGACCGCGAGAACGCUUCAGUCAAUUUAAAGUCAACUGUAAAGAUUUAGCUUGUGGCGAUAUUGACACUAGGGUUCAGGUUUAAAUCAAGCUAUAAUUAAGAUAGAAGUCAACUUGAAUUAGGUUGAACCUGUGCUCCAACUAUUGAACAAACAAGUUAUAAAUACUUGAACUCAAUUAGAUCUUAGAAGGGGUCCAUCAGAAGAAGAGAUGGAAAAUGAAAUGUGACAAAAAUUUUGAGUUAGAAUCAACAUUAACUGCAGGAGAAAUGAAUUAUAGGUGGAUUCCCUCCCAUCAAACCGAAGCUUUAAAUAAGGGGAUAUGAGUCGGUCGGAUACCCAACACCGAUGGGAGCAGAGUUGACUCAAAGAUUUUGCCAGUGGGUGUAAAAUUAUUAAAUGACAGGCAAAAGAUAGAAUAUGUUAAGGACAAAAUUUAAAUAUGCUUACCGGAAAUUGAAUAGGAGAGAUUUAUAGGUUAGGUUACCAACAUCAAAAAUUAAGUACAUCUACCCAAAAAAAUAUUAAAAUUAUAAAAAAAAUCAAGUGAGAUUUUAGAAACUAGGAAUGAGCAAAUGAGUUAGUUCAUAUGUCCAACUCGGCUGAGCCCCAAAUUUGGACCGAUUCUAUGAAAAACCGACGCCGGCCUACCCGCACUCUGACCUACCUUCCUUGCUUAAAAGGCCUACCCAAAAAAGAGAUGAAAAAAAGGCCUCUCCGGGUUUCAGAAAUCAAAAAUAACCUGUGCAUCGAGGGCUAUUUAUCUUUAUAUAUAUAUAUAUAUAUAUAUAUAUAUUAUUUAUUUAUUCUAUAUAUAUAUAUAUAUAUAUANNNNNNNNNNNNNNNNNNNNUAUAUAUAUAUAUAUAUAUAUAUUUAUUUAUUCUAACUUCCCCAUUUAUUCGGCGUGUGGUGGCCCCGCGGUGAAUUAAUGGAGGGCGCAAUUCUCUUGUGAAUUGUGAUAGGCUUAUCUAGAAGAUAUGCAAAAAUAGUAAUGUCCAGCUUACCUAAAUGAACCGCUGCGGAUCUUGUCCCAGACCAUUGAAUGAUCGGCGUUGCUCGGGUUCACCUUGUCCCAGUGCAAUGGUUUCAGCUUCUUGGGCCCGCCGUCCGACGCCUGUGCCGGUGCAGGCGGGGCCUGAAAGAUGAACUGGCGGCCCCGCUGCUGCCACGGGGCGGCGGCGGAGGAGGAGGCGACGCAUUUGCCUUCAUUACCGGCGGUGGGGGUGGGGGUGGUGGAGCCGGUGCCCUGGGUAGCGCAGGCAACGCAUUUGCCUUCAUUACCGGCGGCGGCGGCGGCGGUGGUGGAGCUGGUGCCCUGGGUAGCGCAGGCGACGCAUUUGCCUUCAUCACCGGCGGUGGGGGUGGCAGCGGUCCGGGAGGAAGAGGUGGAGGCCGUGGCGGCGAUGGGGUUGGGAUAUUGGGCGGCGGCGAAGGCGGACUAGGGGAACCGACAGGCCUCGCACGUGCCGCGAAGGAAUCGACGGCGACCACCGACAACGUCGACGACGAGCUCUGACUCGAAAUCCUCGGCUCAUGGAAGAUCCGUGAGGAGGAAUUGACGGAGCCAGGUGGAAGCAACGGGGCUUCUUGAAUUCUACGGUCGUUUCUUGUGCGCGAGCCGGGGUUGCCUUCUUCUUGGCGGCCCGGUGAUUCCAGCGCGAGGUUACAGUGACGGCACCUCUUCUGGCCCUCCUUAUUGAACUCCCUCCAAUAGAUAGCGUCGAGGCCAUUCUCGUCCACGAUCCCGCCCUUGAACGCAAGAUUCGCUCUCGACCGCUGCCGAUCUGCGCGAAAGCUUUUGCGGGAGUCCAUGACUUGUGCCUCGCGGCGCCGCUUGGCAGAGAACCGGUGGAAGGCGAAGAAAAGGAGCCCGCAGACAGCGAAGCUGCCGGCUGCGGUGGCAACGACAGCAGUGGUUACUUUGUUGUCUUGGCUCUUCGGGGGAGGCACGAUUGAUGGUUGGGAGUUGGGCGGCUGUGGGAAUGGCGCAGGUGGCGGCGGCGGCGGCGGCGGCGGUGGAGGUACCAAAUUGGGGAAAGCCGGCGAAGGGAGGGAGGGGAAGAAUGUCUCAAUAUUCCUAUUUGGAAGAGGAGGAGGAGGAGGAGGAGGAGGCGAGUUGGAUUGAAGAAGACGUCUCUGUGGAGACGAGGGAGAGAAAGGAUGAGACGCUGACGCUGCUGCGGAGCUUACAAAAGAAGAAGAGAAGAGGAGAAGGGAGAGAAGAAGCCAUGUCCCAAGGAUCGCAGCCAUGAAAAGAAACUGGGACGGCACGGGGGAUUUCUUUGAAAAGAAAGAGAAGGGAUGACCGCGUCGGGAACUUGAUCUUAUGUUCUUUGUUUUAGGUGAGGGUGGAGGUUGAGUGUCCUGUUUUCGUCUACUUAACUCGUUUUGGUUGACGGCUUCAACGGCUAUAGUGGUUGCUUAUCGCCGCUCGUGGUGGGUUGGGUUUAUCCCAUUUCCUGGCUGCGUCCUUUGUUUAAAAGACCAAAUACUCCUUAUUCCGAACCCAUUAUUCCAGAUAGAGACACUAAUGCUGGAAUUGAAAUUUAUGUCAAUUUGUGAGAUCCAUGCAAUAGACGGUUGGGAUUUAAGAUAAAUCACCAACCCUGCAAUGGAGAUAUUAUUAUAUCAUCAGGUUGAACGCCAAAGAGAAUCUGUCAUAUAGCAAGCACCACGCUUGCAUGAUAAGGUUUCUACCAAGAGAGAGUGGGGGAAAAAGCGCAAUCAUAAAGUCAACUUCACCCGUUCUUUCCCUCGAAGCCGCUGACUUGAUCUUUUGCUACUCUUCUAGAUCUAAAGGUAAAACCAAGGACUCGUUAAAAGCGUUUGUCGGUUAGGUACGUACGAGGCAUUAUUAAAAAGCUUAGAAUGUUUCACCUUUCUUCUUCUUGCGAGAGCCUCCAUGACGUAAAAAUUUCGAGGCUGCUAUCCCGCGCUUCGCAUGUUGAACUCUUCAGAUAUUCAGAUUUCUUAUGACUUUUUAUAUGUAAACCGUUGCCUUAGUCAUGACUUGGUAAAAUAUGCAACAACAGAUUAUAGUUUAGUGGCACAUUGCACCCAUGGUUGCAAACAUGCUCCAAAUAUUCAUGGGCACACCUUAUCUUAUUCUGAAAUUGCUACCUUUUUUUUUAAUAAAGAGGAAGGCAAAGUCACCUGGCCUUUAUUAGAAAAGAAAAAUUUACAUAAACUAUUUAUAAAAAAUUUGCAAGAAAGAAAAAUAUAAAAGAGCAAUAAAAAUCUUUUAUAAAAGAUAGCGGUCAGUAAGUUGACCUGUUGAACUAUUCAGCAAGCGGAAUAAUCUUCUAUGUGAUUUGAAAGAUCUCUGUAUCUUCAGUGCACAACUAUAUAAGCUCUGUAUCCUGAUAAGAGUUAGGUUUCUUCUAAAGAUAGAUCAAUAUCUCUCAACAUGCGGCGCCAAUGUUGUAAGAUUAUUUCAAAGUUGUAGAUAAGGAUCAAGCAUUAAGUAACAUUCAACCAAAAAUAAUUUCAUGGGAAAUAGCCAUGCUCUUUCACCACUUUAACCCCGCCAAAAACAUACCUAGGAUGCCAUCCAUCGGCAAUGUCACAAUUGAUGCAUCAAGAAAGUUAUUGGCAAAACAAUUAUCUAUAUUAGUACUAUGUUGGAACUCUUCAACUACAAUCCAAAACUUUUUUUUUACUUUUGAGCAAAGACUAUGAUAACUUGCACCCAUGUUCUCUCCAAUUGCUUAAUCUGCCUUUGUUGUACACAACUUUCUUAUCAUUACGAUGCAUUGCCGCUUUAUCUCUCUGUUUAGGAAAUCAGAAUGGUGAUUUUUUGAGGGGAAGGGGGCGGGUAGAACUAGUUAUGUACUCUCAGACUAAAUCAACAUCUAAAUGUUAAUCCAUCCUUGUACAACAAGCAAAUUAGUCAUGCACAAGGAUAAAGGGGUAAUCUUCAGAUAAAUGGCUUGCACUCCUCUAAUUAGAUUCUAAACUACUUGAUUAAAGGAUCCUGACCAGAAACUUGUUUCUAGAGGGGAAAAGAGAAAGCAAAAUGGAUGAGAAUUCGAAUGCAGGUAAAGACUUUGGACCAUCGACAGCAAAUGCAUGGAAAUAUCGAUGUUAUGAAUAUAUACAACCAAAUGCCUUUCAAGUAUAAAAUGAGGUCCGUUGGAAAGUAACAAAUUGAAGUAUCAAGCACUUUUUCAACCAAAAAGAAAUAUCCAGCACUUUAGCAUAGAACUGGCAAAAGAAAAUUAUAUUAUAUGGCAUUCUCACCUUUCAACUAGGAUCCGAAUUGGAAAAUAGUAACAGUGGCUCAAAUAGGCAAAACAGAUCAGUAGACAAGCACUUUCAUUAAUAAAACUGAUACAGAACCAGUACUGAUAUAAGUCUGCAUGCAAAAUAGUCUCAGUUGGAGCUGCUAUCGAACAGAUAACUGGCCACAAAUCCAGUUAUUUUAUUAUAUAAUAGAAGAAACAUGUCAUUCAUGCAUAAAAGAAUACCAAAAAAUAUCAAUUAAAAAAGAAACUAAUUUAAUCCGCGCUUAAAAUAUUAUGAGAAGCAAAAAUAGCUCUUGUAAAAACAUAACACGGUAGAUUCUAAGAUAGGAGAAUGUAUAAAACUAAAGCAUGAUAAAUAGAUUAGAUAACGAAAAAAAACAUCCAUCACUAGUUUAGGGGACAUUGGAAAUAAAUUUCUUCUUCUCAUUAUCUAACAAUGUAACCAGAGAGAGUUACUUCAAAUUCAGCAAGCUAGAACACCCACCUCAGCUCAGAUGAAUGGCCUCAUGCUUAAAUUUAUCAUGCAAAACCCACAUAAUGAAAUCACAAUGUUGCUUUGGAAACAUAUACAACUGAUGGGUACUUAAAUUGACUGAACCAGAUAUCAUCCAUCAGAAAAAAGUGCAAGUCUGAUAAGACAUACCAUAUCACACUUAACUCUUAGACCUCCAAUUUUUUUGCAUUUGCCAAGUUCUUUAUGACAAAAGAACUUGGGCCAGUUGGACCCUCCAUGGAAGGAACCAGUAGAGCAUUAGGGGUAGCUGGAGUUCUAGUUUAGUCUAGAUUAGUUUGAUCAAUUUAUUUUAUUUGAAUUAGUUAGCAUAUUUUGAUUUAUGUUAUCUUGGAACAAUUGAUUAUGAGAAUAAUUUUAUUUAGAUCUUGAUUAAAUCAGUUUUCGAGACUAAAAGAAUUAUUAUUAUUGCUUGUAAUUAUUAUGAUUUGAUUUGUAGCCUUGUAGGCUAACAUGAUCCGUCCUAUUGGAAAAAUUAAAUACGCACAGCUUUUUGGGCCGCGUGUGCGUUUGCCGCUGGAAAUUACUUGAGUCAGCGCCUGCACUUAAUUACCGCGGAUGCAUCCACGCCUUCCGCGGAGGCAUCCGCAAAGAAACCAAUAAGCCUCUGUAAUCACUUCUAUAUAUACCCUUCAAUUUCAUGCUAUUUGGUACACAAAAAAUUAAAGAAAAAUACCAAAAAAAUUCUAGAAAAAAGUUCUUCCUCUUAGCCACUUUUGAUUUUUAUUUUUGUAACUCUAUUUAAUUUAUUUAUUCUUUUUAUUUCGUUCUUCGCUGGAUCUGUAAGUUCGAUCGGAUUCGAUUUGGCUUCUUCCGAGACGCACCGAAGAAGAAGUUUAGGAUCGUCGUACCUCUGAGAAGGAUUGCCAGGAGACCCGUACGUGGGGGUAAACACUUGUUUGGGACAACGAAGAAGUGAUUGUUAACAAUCCAAAGAAGGUAUUAAUUGUGAUUAUAGAUUUAUUUGCUUAUUUAGGUGACAUAUUGCUAACAAUCCAAAGAAGUGAUUGUUUAUUUUUUUUGUUAGUAAUAUAUAAUUCAAUAAAUCAUUCUAAAAAGGUAAUAAUUUUGUUUAACCUCCAAGAGAUUUAUCAUACCUCUAUUUGGACUCCUCAAGAAGUAAUUUUCAGAUCCCAUUCAAACGAAAAAUUCGAAAAUUGGUUAAUACAUAAAAAUUAAUUCAUUGAAUUGACUUAUUAGAUCUCAAUCAAUUAUUCUAAUAAGAUAAUAAAUUAUAUAAUUCAUUAUAUUGACAUUUUAAAUCUCAAUUACAAUAAUGGAUUUGCUACCACAAAAUUAGUAAUUAAUUAUUCUAAUAAGGUAAUAAAUCAUAUAAUUCAUUGAAUUGAUAUUUUAGAUCUUAAUUACAAUAAUUGAUUUGCUGGCACAAAAUUAGUAAUCAAUUAUUCUAAUAAGAUAAUAAAUCUUAUAAUUAAUUAAAUUGGCAUUUUAGAUUUCAAUUACAAUAAUUGAUUUGCUAGUACAAAAUUAGUAAUCAAUUAUUCUAAUAAGGCAAUAAAUUAAUUUUAAUAUAUAAUUCAUUGAAUUGACAUAUUAGAUUUCAAUUACAAUAAUUGUCUAGCUAGCACUAAAUUAAUAAUUAAUUAUUACUAAUUCGAAAAAUUAAAAUAGAAAAUUCGAAAAUUGAUUAAUCCCUAAUAACAAAUUUAAGUUUGUAUUUAGGCUUUUAUAAAAAUUGAAUUUAUGUGAUUUCUAGUGAUUAUAUCCACUAACUAAUAGUAUCAAAGAAUAGUUUGUCAAAAAGGCAUACGUGCCUAAGAAAGGCUAGUACUUAAGUGAGCCUAGUGCUCCACUACCGAUCUGGAGCUAAUCUGACUAUUAUUUUUUGGAUAUAUCAACUAGACAUUCAAAAUUCAAUACAAAUUUUAGGGUAAUCUUUUGACAUAAAUUUUUGGCUUCAUUCAGGUUUCUGUCCAUUCUCUAUAACCUUGAACCUAUGGCCUCUAAUACUAGUAAUCACCUUAGUGCCAAACCUGAAAAAUUUGAUGGCCAUACUUUAGAAGGUAGCAGAACCAAAUGCGGUUCUGGCUCACCACAUUAGGGUUGAUCUCGGCCAUAGAUGAGAGCACUACUAAAGUUGAUAACAAAUCCAAUCCAACUACUUCACGACCUGCUACUUGCCAAAACCCAAACCCAAAUUGGAGUUCAUCCUCCUCCAAACUGAACCUUCUGUCUCCACCAGUAUAUCCUCUAGGACACCUGAUGAGAUAGACUAUCAUUGCAUCUAUAUAAUUCUAGGUGCCCUUUCUGAGAGGCUGUAUAACAUUUAUUAACUCUACCACUCCAGAAAUCCUAACCACCACAAUGGAAAACCAAUCCAAUUCCAAGAGCAGAAAAAGAAGAAAGAGGAAGGCGGUGUUCAUUUCUGUUAUGUGCGUGGUCGGACCAACCAUCUAGCUCCCCAGUACUUCUAUAAUAAGACUGCACCUUUUCAAUCCAAGAAGAAAGGUCUACAUACAACCAGUGCUUAAGUCAAUAUGGUGACUUCUGGCGCAGGCUCUUCUGAGACUUCUUUCAGGUCUGUUUUCUUCACUCCUAAAGUUAACAUGACUUUACAAGCACUUGAUUGAUGGAUUGAUACUGGAGCUGGUAUUCACAUUUGUUCGGAUCGCUCCUGGUUUUCUUCUUACCAGAUCUCAAGUGGAGGAACUGUGAUAAUGGUAAAUAGCUCGGAGGCGCGUGUGCUAGGAGUGGGACGUGUAGACUUAAAGCUUACCUCUGAAAAAGUUCUGUCCCUGCACGACAUCCAACAUGUUACAAUUGUUAGGAAAAACCUCAUUAGUGGUUCCUUGCUUGUCCAGCAAGGCUUUCAUCUUAUUUUUGAGUCCAAUAAAGUUGUAAUUUCUCAUAGUGUAAUAUUUAUUGAAAAAGAAUUCCUAAGUGAAGGAUUGUUUAAGUUGAAUGUAAUAAUUCCUUCAAUAAACGAAAAUCUUUUGAUCAUGAAUAUAGAACUUUUUUUAUUUGGAUUCAGAUAUAUUAGAGUUGAUUCAUAGUGAUGUUUGUGACUUAGAUCAGAUCGGAGAGGUGAAUAAACAUCUAAUGAGAUAACUCAAUUUUGUGAAGAUCAUGGAAUCAUUCAUGAAGUGACUGAUCCCUAUUCUCCCCAAUCAAAUGGAGUAGCAGAAAGGAAGAAUAGGACUUUAAUAGAUAUGGUUAACUCCAUGCUUAUAAACUCAGGAGUACCAAAAAAUUUGUGGGGGAAAGCUCUAGUUUUAACUUGUUAUAUCCUCAAUAGGAUUUUCUCCAAAAAUAAUGAUCUAACCCUAUAUAAAGUUUGGAAAUAUAAAGAACCUAAUCUUAGCUAUUUAAAAGUGUGGGGGUUCUUCGCAAAAGUAAAAAUACCUAAUUUUAAGAGAAAAAAAUAGGACCCAAAAUAGUAGAUGCCAUAUUCAUAGAAUAUGCAACCAAUAGAUUUCUGGUAAUUAAUUCAGAAAAAAUGAUAUUAGUAACAAUACUAUUAUAGAAGCCAGAGAUGUAAUAUAUUUUGAAGACACCUUUUUACUUAGGACUAGAGUAGAUAGUGGUAUAGGUAGUAGCUCUAGUAGAAUAAAGACAAGAGAAAUAGAAAUAGAAGCAGAAUCUAGGAGUAAGAGAUCCAGAAUAGAGAAAACUUUUGGAGAUGACUUCUAUACCUUUCUUAUAGAGGACUCUCCAACUACUUUUGAGGACGCAAUGAAAUCCUUGGAUUCACUUUUUUAGAGGGAAGCUGUAGACAAUGAGAUGCAGUCAAUUAUUCAAAAUAAUACUUGGGUAUUGACUGAUCUUCCUUAUAAAUGUAAAACUAUAAGGUACAAAUGGAUCUUUAAGAAGAAACUUAGGCUUGAUGGCUCUGUAGAUAAAUUUAAGGCUAGAUUAGUUGCCAAGAGUUUUACACAAAGACCUGGGAUAGAUUUCUUUGAUAUCUAUGCACCUGUAGCUAGGAUUACUACUAUUAGGGUCCUGAUAGUAUUAGGCUCAAUCCAUAAAUUAGUGAUUCAUCAGAUAGAUGUGAAAACAACUUUUCUAAAUGGAGACUUAAAUGAAGAAAUUUAUAUGGUCCAACUAGAGAGAUUUAUAAUUCUAGGCUAAGAAAAUAAAGUUUGCAGACUAGUCAGAUCUCUCUAUAGUCUUAAAUAAGGACCCAAGUAAUAGCACUUAAAAUUUGAUGAAAUCAUACUAACAUUUGGAUUUGAAAUCAAUAGUAAAGACGAAUGCAUAUACCAUAAGAGAAUUGGAAAUAAAUUUGUGAUCUUGUGCCUCUAUGUAGAUGACAUACUGAUCUUUGGGACAGAUCUUCAGAUAGUUGAUGAAGUAAAGCAAUUCUUAAGUCAUUAUGUUGAUAAGAUUCUCAAUAAAUUUAAUUAUACCAAUUGUCAGCAUGUCUCUACUCCUUUUGAUCCCUCUACAUACCUUAAGAAGAACUGAGGAACUCCUAUCCUUCAAGGCCUAUAUGCUCAAAUUAUAGGCUCACUAGGAUUCCUAGCAAACUACACCAGGCUAGACCAAGCAUAUGCUGUGAAUAGACUUAGCAGAUAUACUGUUAAUACAAAUAGAGAUCAUUGGACAACAUUAGAGAGGAUCUUUAGGUAUCUUAAGGGUAACAAGUUCCUAUAGUUUGCACUUUAGUGGGUUUUCUGUUGUUCUAGAAAGCUAUAGUGAUGCCAACUGGAUCAGCGAUACCUUAGAUGUUAAAUCCACCAUAGGAUAUGUCUUUCUCCUAGGAGAUGCUGCUGUGUCUUGAAAAUCUACUAAACAAACCUUGAUAUCUAGGAGUACCAUGGAGUCUGAACUGAUAGCUUUAGACACCACUAACACUGAGGCUGAGUGGCUCAGAGAUCUACUAAUAGCCUUCUAGUAGAUGAGUUACCUUUACUACCUAUCUCCUUACAUUGUGACUGUAAAUCUGCAAUAGAUAAGUGCAAUAAAAAAAUGCCAAUGUAAAAAUAAACAGGCACUUAAAAGUAUGUAAUAAAUUAUUAAGAUAUAAAUUGAAAAAUAAUAUUAUUGCUUUGAAUUUUGUAAAAUCAAAAAAUAAUUUGGCUGAUCAGCUUACAAAAGGUUUGUCUAGAACAGUAGUUCUAGAGUCGUUGAGGGGGAUGGGGCUUAGCCUAUAAAGAUAGAUCACCACGGUGGGAACCUAACCUUAAAAAGUUCAAUAGGUAGAAACAAACCGGAGUGUGACUAAGAGGAGCUUUGUUUCAUGUUUUCCUCAUCCCUAUGGCUUAGUGCUCAUAAAAGCAAGCGGUAGGAUGAAUUUGUUUGUAUAACUCUUAAUGAGUCUGAGACUCAAGAGGCAGGAGCUUCCUUGCUAGUUUCCUUAUUAGAACUCACCUAUAUGUGCUGUCGUGAGGCUGCGAUUGUAGGAAAUAGGUGAUUUCCUAAAAAGCACAUGAAAGAUACCUGCGCAUGGCCAUAUUAGUGCAACCCGCUUAGAACCCAGAUCGGACUAUAUUAUGUGUGCUGUUGAUUUAAUCUGAGCCAUGAAUCGAGGUUCAAGGUUAAGACCGCCUUGGCUCCACAGAUGUAAUCAAUUGUCACCAAGUAAAGGUUUAAAUCGAAAAGUACCUGCACCUAUUACAUAAUAUAAGAUAUCCAACAUUUUGUUUUGAUUUUAAAAUUAUUUAAAAAUUAAUUUUUGUGGGGGAUUGUUGGAAAAAUUAAAUGCGCACGCGGCUUUUAGGGUCGCGUGCGCGUUUGCCAUUGGAAAUUACGUGAGCCAACGCCCGUGUUUAAUUACCGCGGAUGCGUCCGCAAAAAGACCAAUAAGCCCCUGUAAUCACCCUUAUAUAUACCCCUCAAUUUCAUCCUCUUCGGUACACACGAGAAAUUAGAGAAAAAUAUCAAAAAAAUUCUAGAGAAAGUUCUUCCUCUUAGCCACUUCUGAUUUUUAUUUUUGCAAUUCUAUUCAGUUUAUUUUAUUCUUUUUAUUUCAUUCUUCACUAGAUCUAUAAGUUUGAUCGGGUUCGAUUUGGCUUAUUCUGAGACAUACCAAAGAAGAAGUUGAGGAUCGUCGUAUCUCUGAUGAGGAUUGCUGGGAGACCCAUACGUANNNNNNNNNNNNNNNNNNNNNNNNNNNNNNNNNNNNNNNNNNNNNNNNNNNNNNNNNNNNNNNNNNNNNNNNNNNNNNNNNNNNNNNNNNNNNNNNNNNNNNNNNNNNNNNNNNNNNNNNNNNNNNNNNNNNNNNNNNNNNNNNNNNNNNNNNNNNNNNNNNNNNNNNNNNNNNNNNNNNNNNNNNNNNNNNNNNNNNNNNNNNNNNNNNNNNNNNNNNNNNNNNNNNNNNNNNNNNNNNNNNNNNNNNNNNNNNNNNNNNNNNNNNNNNNNNNNNNNNNNNNNNNNNNNUGGACAUUAGGAUACCACUCAAACGCCACCAGAUGGAUAAAUACUACUGCAAACGUUGGAAGCUUUUCCGUGCUUGCUCUAUAUAUAGAAAGAUAGGGAGGAGUUAGGGUUUAAUGAGAUGAAGGGGGAAUUUGAACAAAGAAUGGAGUUGAGUAAGGUUUCAGAUUGGGAACUGUUACCUGCUUCCUGAGCAGAAGAGGCCAAGUUGAAGCGAUGGCUUCGAAGAGAGAUUCAGAGAGAGGGGUCAAUCGCUAUGGAUUCGAAUCGAGGAGAAACAAAGGGGAAGGAGGAGGAUUAGAGAGACCGGAGCCCCGUUGUUCUCGUUCCCAACCUCCUAUAUAUUGGAGGAGAAAAAGAUAAAACUAAUUUUACCCUAUAAAUUUUAGUUGGCUUUAAUAUUUUAUUAUUUUUUAGAUAUGUGAAAAUAAAAUUUAUUGUAUAAAAAAAUUCUUCCUACGAAGCUUAAAUUACCCUUGGAGGGUUAGGCCGAGCCAAAAUUUUGUAUCUUGAGAACAAAAUCAUCAUAGACCCGCACAUAGAGAGCAAAUCGCAUUCUUAGGACAGUGUAUGUCAUAUACUUCUAUCAAAGCAAAGUCUUUUUAAUUGUUUAUUUUUUAUUUUUUAUAAUAUUAUUUUUUAAAAAAUAUAAAUAAUAUAUAAAUUAGCAAUAUAGCAAUUUCUAUAUGUAUAUUCUGUUAAUAUAAAUUAUACCUUAUACCGAAUGCACCAACAUGGUCAUGCACCUCGCCAAUUACCGUUACUUCUUCUUGUGCAAAAAGAAAACAACUAAACAUGACAAUUUAUGACUUGAUCCGUCGACCCAACUCAUAAACAACCAGUUUUAAGUAGGUUCGGAUUUGACAUAAAUAAAUUUGAGUUACAAAUCGGUCAACCUAUUUAAAUAUGUUUAUUAAAUUUGGAUUCAGAUUUAGAUCUUUAACCUAUUUAACCAGUUUAAAAUCUGCUUAACCUAUUUCCGUCUGGUUUAACUCAACCCACUUAACUUAUUUAACCCAUUUAAAUCUAUUUAAUAUGUUAAAAAUCUACUUAAUCUGUUUAAUCUAUUUAACCUGACUUAAUCUAUUUAAUAAAUGGAUUAUGCAGGUUGGGUCAAAUUACCUAUUUAAUAAACAAAUUGGGUUUAUAUCUGAAUUGCUGACUUAUAUAAUAAAUAUGUCAGAUUUGGAUUGAUGAAUUUUUGACCUGACUUAUAUCUAACCUGACUCGUACUCGAGCUGACCCAAACUAAUUACCACUCUAGAGACGUCAUGUUGGUGCACACAUUGUAGGGUAUGAUUUCUCGUCGGAUAUAUCGGAAGUUAAAAUUGAAAAUGACUUGAAUGUCUGAAGGAAUUAAAGAAAUUCGUCAAAUUUUAAAAAUAAUUAAAGAGGUCCAAAGACGCCGCUCCGCCCUCCUCUUCUUGCAAACAUCCUCAUCCCGGAGAAAUCAUAUCCAGCACCCGGUGCACCUGUUCAGCAUUAUAUCGAGUUAAUAAAAUUUCACCACAUCCGUUGAGAUUGUUACUGAAUUAAAUAAUAAUAAUAAUAAUAAUAAAUGAAUAAAUAAAUAAAAGAGUGAGCUGUCGAGGACCUGAGUGCAAGCUCUAUGGUUUUUUUAGACUAAAUCAUGGGUUCCCUUCUUUAGGUAGCAAAGCGACUUUCCUUUUCCCACUUGAGGGGGGCUUUUUUUGGAGAUCUUUAAAAUAAUAAUAAUAAUAAUAUUACUUUGUCCAUGGCGAUGAAUCAUAGGAUGAUUUGGAACUUUCAAAACUAUACAUUAGCCGAGGGCAGUUUAGGAUGGUCUCAGCCACAGAGGGAGUUUCUUGAGGGCUGGAUCCAGAGGCAGGUUGGGACUAUAGCGUUAAACUUUUUGAUUCAGAACAUUUCGCGUCAGACAGGUGGUUGUUAUGCCUUUAUAGUAAGGCAUGUUUACUGAGCGAUGAAUAAUGUGGCGGACUGAAUGACCUCAUUUGCUGCGGAUCAUUCAGAAGGGUUUUUCUGGUCUUUGGAGGCUCAGGUACUCAAAGCAUUUAGAGAUAUUUUAUUUUUUGAUUUUCGUGGCUAUAUAUAAAUGAUAUGGUGGGCACCACAUUGGGAGUUGGCAUGUGAAUGGAACAAGACCAAUAAUACAAGCACUUCCAUCCGUUCAAUUACAUAAGUUGUAGCUGUAUAUACAAUAAAUUGUUCCAUAAAUCCACAGACUCCGGACAACCAUGGACCACCAUAUGAUCACAGAUGGCUAUAAAUUUGGAGACGGACAUCUUAAGUCCAAUCCCGAAUUGGAGAGGAUUAACAACUGGGUUUCAAGUCCUCCCCGUUACAAAUGACGUAAUGAAACUCCAUUACAUCCCUCAAUUGCCAUCUUAUCAUAGAUAUAUAUAUAUUUUAAAUUAAAUUUUAGUUAUUCAAAAACCUUCUACAUUACAAGAUCCCUGGGAUAGUCAUAAAGUGGUUUUGCAUUCACUAUAUAAAUCAACAAAACUAUUUAAUUGAAUGGUGAUCCCUAUGUUUGAAGAUUUAUAUUGUAGAGGGACUGCAAAAUAAUUUUCUAUGUUGCUGUACAAAUUUUGUAGACUUGAUAGAGUAGUUGAUUAUGAGCUUGCUUAAAGUUGUUAGGUGUUGGAGCUCUUUAUCUUACAAGAUCCAUAUAACAAUCAUGAAAUGGUUAUGUGGGCACUAUUUGGAUCAUUAGACAAUUGAAAUUAAAUAGAAAAUUAAAAUUUUAAGUAAUAUUUUAAUUGCUUAAUGGCCUUGUAUUAGAUCUAUAUAGUGACUGCAUAACAAAUUUGUGGUUGUUACAAAAUCACUUUCUUGGUUAGAACUUCUAUCAUGUAUGAAAUCAAUAAAGUAAGUUCUAAUUUAUAUGAAAUAUGUAUAUGGAAGAUACAUCUAAAAAUGGAUUUUUAAUGAUAUCUAGCUCCAGUUCACAAGUCCAAUGAAUUAGACCUAAUAAUAAUAGAUUUCCAAUAAAGGAACAUAUCACAUGAUAUGAUAGUAUGAAUGCAAUAAUAGAUUCUGAAUUAAAAAAAUAAAAUUAUCAAAUUAUAUAAAUUAUUGUCCAACAAUACCGAGAAUAUACAACCAUCAAAAAUAUGACUAGAAAAUGGUGUUUUAGGUAUUAUAUCGGAUGCAUCGACCAUUUUCCUAACACAUUGUAGGUCCAUUGUGCUUACUUUUUGAACAUCUCCAAAAUUAAUAUGGAAAAGAUUUUGUUCUAAACACAGUCAUGACAUGUAAUUUAUUUUGUCAACUCCUAAUCCAAUGCGACUCCUUUUGCAAAGCCCUCGCAAGAUGGGAAAAUUAUCCUUCUUUUCUAUCUAAUCAUCAAUGGAGGUGUUGUGGUUCAAAUCUGGCCCGAGGGUGACCACACCGGAGGUGUCGGAGGAGCUGCCGGAGUGUGAAAGGAGAGGACAGGGGCCACCUCCUGUGCGGCGAUGUACCUGCACAAAGCGUCACCAGUGGAGUUCCGGUGAGGACCCUCCGACGCUCAAGUUAGAGUGGGAUGAAUUUGGUCUAGCCAAAAGUCCUUUAGGCAUUACCUGAUGGAGCUAUUUAUAGUCUCCGUAGAGGUGCCCAGGUAGCGGAGGUAUGGCCUAUCCUCAUCAUGGGAGGAGAUAGCUUUUAGCUAGACGGCGCGCAACUAGAGCUUGCUUGAGGCACACGACGUAGGCCGUUCUUAUGAACAGUAAGGCGUUGGUAGAUACGACAAGGCAUGGCUGGGGAAGCAGGGCAUGGUCCCUGGCUAAUAUGUCGUGGCAUGGCUAGCAAAUAAAGCAUGAUGCGGUGAGGCUGCUACAGGGCAUGGCCGCAGCAUGUGGACGACGAGGUUGGUCUGCUGAGGUCGGCCUUCUAGAGUUGGCCUUCUGAGGUCGGCCUUCUGAGCUCGGCCUUUUGAGCUCGGCCUUCUAAGGUCGGCCUUCUGGGGUCGGCCUUCUGAGGUCGGCCUCGGCCUUCCAGAAUUGGAUGACUUCAUGCCAAAAAAUAGGACGAUCCAUUUUGCCCCCCAUCAUUGCCCUCCGACUUUCGAGUUCGAGUGGUUUGUUGGAUCGAGCGAAGGAAGUAGCCGAAUCGUUAAUCGUCCUAUAAUUCAGUCAAAUAUUUGUGAAGAUAUAUGUGCCAAGUAAGAUGUACCUCUCAUGUCGUUGAAGCUAACGGUUUUAGGCCGAGCUUUCCGAGCCGAGCUAAGCGACUCUAGUCUGAGGUCGACUUCGGCGGUCUUUUUUGACUCGUGGUCGACUCAGCAGGGUGCCCCCACUCAAAUCGGGGUGCGUCGUCGCAGAAGGCAUCGAAUUGGCAUUGAAAUGACGUCGAAGUAGCGUCGAAAUGACGUCGAUCACUUAGAUGAGCUCGAGAGUAGAAGAGCUCGAGUGUAGAAGAGCUCGAGUGUAGAAGAGCUCGAGCACUUAGAUGAGCUCGAGAAUAGAAUCCAGCUCGGAGGUAAGCACCAGCCCGAGAAUAUAGAUGGGGGGGGGGGCGACGUUGGAGAUGGAGAUACCUGUAGGUCGGCUUUUGCAUUCUUCGACUUUGAAAUAUGUGAAAUAUUGAAAUUAUUUAAAGUCGAAGUGGCGUUCCGUACCUUUUGAAGAUAUUUUGAUGGCUUUCGAGCUUCGAGGUCUCUCAGGACUUGGUUCAGCACCGGCUGGAAGUCGUUGGAGGCCGUUAAGCGGCAGGCUUUGAGCUCUGGGCCGCGUUGCUACCCCCCGAGGUCGAGGAGCCAUGAUCAUGCAGGAUCCAUGGCUACCCAAGUGCAUUUUCUUUUGCCAGGCCGGACCUGAUCUCGUUGUUGCCUUGGUUGGCCAAGAAUAGCGUUGUAGGCCGAGCUGACCCUUCGGAAGGCAUUACAAAAUAAGACGUCAGCCAAGCUUCCAUUGUAUACUAAAACCCUUUUUACAUCAAACCUUGCAAUGAUAAAAAAAUAGCUACAACGUCCUCAUAAAAAGGGCUCAAUACCCUUUUGGUCUUCAUCGGAAAAGGAGAUGACUUCCAUAGUGCACUGAUGCUUUGAGGAAGCUCCUUCUCCCGAGCUCGAUGCUUCAGGUGCCUUUACUCGCCCGCCCUCUGAUGGUAUUGAUGAUACUCGCAAGAGGUCAGUUGUCAUUCCGCUUCUCAUGCGGCAUUGGAUUUUGUUCCUCGGGCUCUCUCCUGUAGGCCUGCUUACGGACAAAACAACUCAACCGACCUCGGCGGACAAGUACCUCGAUCUCAUCACGGAGCUCAUAGCAAUCCUCUGUAUUAUGGCCGCGAUCUCAGUGAAAGUGGUAGUACAUUUUCGAGCACUUCUGCGACUCUGUUGGUCGCAUCCUCAAUGGAGGUCGGAGGUAGCCCUAACCCUCAAUCUCCAUGAGGAUCUCUACUCAGGUGGAUGUAAGAGGAGUGUAUGUCUGAAACUUUUGAAGGGGUAACGUCGAGCGAGCUAGGCUCUUGGGCCAAGGAGGAUAUUUCUCGCGCUAGGAGAAUUUGUUGCUUAGUUGGGAGCAUUCCUCGUGGCGCUUCUUCUGCAUGUUGGCAGGUCGUUCGACUGCCUCCCACCGAGAGGCCAUAACUUCCUCAGCCUUGGCGUACUUGCAAGCUCGGGCCAACAUUUCAGCAAAGUCGGCGGAAAAGCUCUUCUCGAUGGAGAAGAGGAAUUCGUAGGACCGAGCUCCAGUCUUCAAUGCCGACAUGGUGAUUGACUGGUCGAGAUCGUGAAUCUCCCAUGUGGCCGAGGUAAAGCGAUCGAUGUAAUCUUUUAAGAAUUCUCUUUCCUUCUGCUUGAUGGCGAAGAGGGAGUCUGAGGUCCGGCGCUGACACCGGCCGGCGGCAAAAUGGGUGGCGAACUACCUGCCCAGCUGCUCGAAAGACGAGCUGCCUUACGGAGAGUCACUAGGAAGGCUCUGCAGAGUAGGACGUCUGUGGCCCCUUGGAGUAUCAUAAGGGCCUUGUAGCUCUCCAAAUGAUUUAGAGGAUCAGAUGAGCCAUCAUAUAGCUCAAUCUACAGCAUCUUGAACUUGUGGGGGUUCGACUCAUCCACGAUCCGUUGAGAGAAUAGAGACUUGGUUGUAAAGUCGAGGUCGGCAUCUCGCUUCAGGGCUCGGUCUCGGAGCGUCUGUAUCUGCCGCUCCAAGUCCUGACUUUUCUACCGAGCUCGGGCGGGGCUUCCGUUGCAGCUCGGCAUGGGGCAGACCCCACCUCAGAUGGUUGCUUCCAUGCUCGAGGCGUUAGACUUCGGCGCGAGCUCUCAGGAUAAUGGCUAUGUGACAAGCCCUCCCAGCUUGGAGACCAAGCUCGGUGGGAGCUUCGGUGAUGGCGAUGCUCUGCAGAAGAGCAACGUCGCGAGCGCCGUCGUGAGGACUUGCACCCAUGAGAAGGGAGUGUAGGAUGGGCUCAUGCCCGCUGCAGAGCUUAAACGGUCAUAGUGAGUGCUUGGAUUUGCUGGACAAGUAGACUAAAUUGCUCCGACUGGACCUGAGGAGUUCGUUUAUGCAGGGGGUGGACUUUGGAGGGAGCUGUGGGAGUUAGUACCCAGCACCUCGAUGUGUUUGAAGCUCCUUGACCCCUCAACUUCAUGAUCAUGACUUAGGCCCUUCCUCUAGCGCCAAAAAUGUUGUGGUUCAAAUCUGGCUCAAGCGUGACCACGUCGGAGGUGUCAGAGGAGCUGCUAGAGUGUGGAAGGAGAGGAUGGGGGCCACCUCCUGCACGGCGAUGUACCUGCACAAAGCCUCACCAGUGGGGUUCCGGUGAGGGCCCUCCGACGCUCAAGUUAGAGUGGGGUGAAUUUGGUCCAGCCAAAAGUCCUUUAGGCGUUACCUGAUGCCCACGGUAAACGCUGGGUAGCCAAGUGCGGAGCGGAUAACUGCUGAAAGCAUCUAAGUAGUAAGCCCACCCCAAGAUGAGUGCUCCCCUAUUCCGACUUCCCCAGAGCCUCCGGUAGCACAGCCGAGACAGCGACGGGUUCUCUGCCCCUGCGGGGAUGGAGCGACAGAAGUAUUGAGAAUCCAAGAUAAGGUCACGGCGAGACGAGCCGUUUAUCAUUACGAAGAGAUGAACUGAAACAUCUUAGUAGCCAGAGCAAAAGAAACAGAACAAAAGACAAGACAUGUCGGCCGCCUCGGUCCUAAGGUAGCGAAAUUCCUUGUCGGGUAAGUUCCGACCCGCACGAAAGGCGUAACGAUCUGGGGGGGCUAUUUAUAAUCCCCAUAGAGGUGCCCAGGUAGCGAAGGUAUGACCUAUCCUUAUCAUGGGAAGAGAUAGCUUUUAGUUAGACGACACACAGCUAGAGCUUGCUUGAGGCAUACGGCAUAGGCCGUUCUUAUGAACGGUAAGGCAUUGGUAGAUAUGACGGGGCAUGGCUGGGGAAGCAGGGCAUGGUCCCUGAUUGAUAUGUUGUAGCAUGGCCAGCAAGUAAACCAUGGUGUGGUAAGGCUGCUACAGGGCAUGGUCGCAGCAUGUGGAUGACGAGAUGGGCCUUCUGAGGUCGGCCUUCUGGAGCCGGCUCAACCUUCUGAGGUCGGCCUUCUGAGCUCGGCCUUCUGAGAUGGGCCUUCGGAGCUCGGCCUUCUGGGGUUGACCUUCUGAGCUCGGCCUUCUGAGGUCGCUCGGUCUUCUGAGGUCGGCCUCGGCCUUCUGCACUCGGCCUUCUGAGCUCGGCUUUCUAGAAUUGGGUGAUUUAAUGCCAAAAAAUAGGACGAUCCAUUUUGCCCCCGAUCAUGAGGGAAGAGCGAGAAACCCAUGUCCAACUCCUCUCUCACACACACUUAUCCCUAUGUGUUUAUAUCUUUUAUUUCAUUUAUAGGACAUGAUAUUAUUCCUAAGAAUCAUGCUUAAUUGAACCACAAUCAUUCAUCCAUCAAGUAUUCUAUUUUGGUCCAGAUGUAUCACCAUCAAGUCUUCACUCUCUGUAACCUUCCAUGCAUGUAACAUAGCUACUUGCUAGCUAAAUAGGUUGAACAAGUUAGACCUUCAAGUUUGAGGACCACAAGAUAGUCAUUUAAGAUAAGAUUUUAAAGAAUGCUGAUAUUUGCUGGUAUGACAUUACGGCCAUAAUUGUCUCACUUGUUAUAUUUAAGAUAACAGACAUUGCUUAUAAUUUUGACCUUUGCUUGUUAUAAUUUUGACCUUUAAGACAACAUUCAAUAGUGGAAGAGAAAAUCAUCAACUGCUCAAGCCAUUAUCUUUUAAACUAGCAUAGAGACUUAAAUUUGUAUAAAUAUUAUUUUUAUUCAAAUGAUUUAAAUUAAUCCAAUCUCAUCAAGAUUCGAAAAAAACUAAUCGACCAACACUUGAACCCAACCACUGAACCGGAGUCGACCGGCUUCGGCUCAAUCUCUAGUCUGCUCUCCUGCGUCGGCAAUGGUUGGUGGUAGACGCGCACCCGUCAAAAACAAGCACGGAAACACCACGAGUCCAAUCUGAGUGCCUCCCUCUCUCUCGGCCCAUGGCGGCCUCCCCCAGAGCUCUCCUGCUCUCCCGUUUCCGCCACCUCUCCGCCUCCUCCUCCUCCUACCCACCAACUCCAAACUCCCUUGUUCUUUCCUCCCGCCAUCUCCUCCUUCUCCGCCGGAGGCGGGAAUCUCACCUCCUCUCCUCCGCCGUCGCCCUUCCUCCCGCUGUCGUGUGCUGUCUCGUCUCCGGAUUCGACAGCGGCGGCGUCGCCGACGACUUCGUCUCCACCCGGCGGUCCGGCCGCCACAAGUUCUCGGCCCUGGCCAACGUGCUCCGCCAUAUCGAGCCCCUCGACACCGCCGUCAUCGGGAAGGGUGUCUCCUCCCCCGCCAAGGACUCUAUGAAGCGGACCAUCUCCACCAUGCUCGGAUUGCUCCCCUCCGACCAGUUCGACGUCUCGAUUAGGGUUUCCAAGCAGCCCCUUCACCAUCUCCUCCUCUCUUCCAUCAUCACCGGGUACUCCCAAGUCCCAUCUUUGUUUCCCGGGAUGAAAUUUCGGAGAAAUUCGGCCCAAUUUGGAUCUAAUUUUUCUUUCUCUUUGCUCCGUGAAGGUACACGUUGUGGAAUGCAGAGUAUCGGUUGUCGUUGAUGAGGAAUUUCGACAGUUCUCCAGGGAGUAGGGAAGUGCUGGUGGCUUCCCGUGGUGGGUUUGAGGUGUUGGGGGAGGGCAGCAAAGAAAGUGAAGGCAUGGGUGAGGAUGAGGAUGAGCUGCGAGGAAUUGAUGGUGGCAAAGAGAGAAUUGCUCCAGAGAGUCUCGAGAAUUUGUCUCCUGCUGCUUUGAGCUACAUACAAGAGCUGGAGUCAGAAUUGGCAUCUGCUCAGAAGGUGAAUAUCUCUUAUCCUUUUGCUUGUUCAGUGGUGCAUUGUCGUAAUUUUUAAUUUAUAUUCUUGAAUUUUUCAUGCAAACACCUCUAUUUCUGGAUGUGCAAGGAGAUUUUGCCUCCCUUCAUCUGCUAGAGAGAAUAUCUUGAACUCGCAACUGUACGUGGGUUUUUUUUUUUGGUCCUUUAUUAGCAAGUUUUAUCUUCAUGAUAUACUGCAGUUAAUUUCCUCACGGCAAAUGGUAUAGGCCUUUAAUGAAAUCAACAAGAAUAUGGAAUUUUCAAUAGGCCCUGCUCUUAUUUGAAGGGGGCUAAUAGUUCCCACCCUGUUUCAGUCCAUCCAUCUUAUACAACUGUGGAUAAGGAUCCAUCAGCUACAUAUCUGUAGGAAUCCCUGUGGUCUUAUCUAAUGCAAUUCAUCACGGUUGUUUGAUCCUUAUCCAAUAAGGAAUGAAAUGAACAGAGUGCGACUUCCAGUCUGCUUGAGGGUAUGGGAUCAUUGCCCUUUUGUAUCAUUUCAAUAUGGCGUGAUUGUCUGAACUUGUUAUUUGUUUUUCUAGAAAUUAAAGAAUGAUUUGGGCUUGUUAUGUACCUUACUAGGUAGUGAAGAAUACACUGCCAACUUCAAUUCCUACCGCCCAAGGCACACAUAUUUCCUCAUUAGAAAAUAUAUAUAUAUAACCAUAAUUAUAUUGAUAUCAUAUUUGAUGAUAAAUCUAACCAUAAUCAUGGUAAUAUCCAUAUUUCUGGAGGUAUAUUUCUAACCAUACUCAACACCAGCAAGCUCGAGUAGUAUGUGAAAUCGAUACAUGUGCACCUAGAUCUUGAAAUAGAUUGCAAGAAAUGAAGAGGUGAUAAGAUGUAAAGUGAAGGUUGCUUUGGUGUGAAUAUAUGGAUGAGACACUAGAAAAUUGUGAACAUGCAACAGAUAAAUUGGAGAAGGCAACUCUCUAUGGAUGAGCAUGAAAUAUGCUUUCAUGUAGAUGGCGUUUGAGCAAAAGUCAGUAAAAUAACCUACAAAAUUGCGUACGCAUUAAACUGCAUACAUGCUUGUUACGUUUAUGUUUUUUUCUGUUCUUAUGGGAGUCUAUAUGUGGAACCGUAUGUUUUGUAUUAUAGUGUUAACAUGUUUUUCAUGAGUGCAUGCAGUAGUAUGUUGUCCUACUCUGUGAAAUGCAAGUUCAAUAUGACCAUGUAUGUAUGCGCAAUUGAGAUUAUAAUUCACUCUAGCAUGUACUCCAUAAAAAUGGUAUUAGAGUUGAGGAUCACUGUUUUAUGACCAUUGCAAGAACUGAAAAGCCUAGUAUGUUAGAUUGGUUUGUUAUUUCAAAUGAUCACUCUUUUUCUGGGUUGAUGCUUUUGCCUACUAAAGCACUUGUUAUUUGUCAAUCUUGCCAGCUUGAUCACCGUGUUUAGAUGUUUUUGCACCUAAAUCAUUGCCUGCAGCUUAAUGUUUGUUAUAUCACAUAUUAUUUUGUGAAAUAUGUGGGAGUCUGCCAGGUCACAUGCUUUCCAUUCAUACAUUAUGAUGCAACAGCAUUCAUCAAUUUCCUGAAGUUUCUGAAUUUCAAUAAAAGCUUAAUAGGUGUCUCACUGUAUCCUCUGAUUCCAAUAGUGCAAUGUGGGGACAUGCAUGUUUCUACUACUCUGGCAUUUGUAUGGUUACAAGCUAUCUGUAAUAUUGUGCAAUAUGUUUAUUUCUGCUCGAAUCCAAAUGGUUAUAACAUUAUUUCUUGCAGAAGAAUUUAUUGCAAUUUAAGAUAAUAUAUUUGUUCAUUGUCGUGUAUGGCAUAACAUUUCAUGAGAGUUAUAUAUAAUCUCAGGAACUAGAUGCAGAAAGGCAGGAUAAAUUUUACCUGGAACACAGCAAAGAAAACAACAAUGACCUUUUAAAUUACCUGAGGUCUUUAGAACCAGCUAUAGUAAGCUUUUGAAUCUGAAGAAAAAAUCUCUAAAUUAUUUUACUUUUUUUCUCUAAACCUCAAUUUGCUGACCAAAAUUCCUCUGGCAGGUGUGCGAAUUAUCUCAACCAUCAUCAUCGGAGGUGGAAGGAAUCAUCAAACAACUUGUUCAGGACAUAUAUAUCAGAAUAUUAAACGGAAACACUCCUAGCUUGUUAGAAGAUUCAUCAGAGACAACAAUUGGUGCUCACCCUAAAAAUGAUGUCAAUCAGUGCGAGACUAUUACUACCCGGGAUUAUCUAGCAAAGUUACUCUUUUGGUGCAUCUCUUUUCCUGAGUCUGAAGUUCAUUUUGUUCAUUAACUUGCUAGCAUGUUGUUAUUGUCCUAGUUUCCCCAUGAACCAAAAUGGAUGUGCAAUUUAGGUAGGGAUCUAUAUGAGUUGCUAGUUUGUGUGGUCCAACUCUUGGAGAAUAUAUAAAAUUUUUAGCAGCAACAGAGAAAACCAGAUCAUAUCCAAAAGGAAGAAAAAUGUUUAAGUGGCAAUCCGUGAGAGCACAUAUACAUACAUACAUUUGAUUGUUUGCCACAGACUGCAAAUGCUCAGAGGUAAAAAGGAAAAUGCCCUUGUUAGUCCAGUAAGGCAUAAAAUUAGGAAUAGACUAUCUGCUUGCAUGCAUAAAAUGCUUAUGGAUGGAAAAAUCUUUAGGAUAGGAUCUGACUUAUUAGAAAUCUCAAUUUUAAUGAACAGCUGACUUCACCAUGAUGAUUACAGAAAAAGAGAACAGCAAAAGAACAAAAUGUUUGAGACAAAAAUGUUGCCUGGGGUUCCGUUAACAAAAUGAGUAAAAUGUAGAAUCAAUGCAAAGAGGAAGAUGAUAGCUAAUUAACCAAAGGGGUCAUGCAUUUUUCAAAUCUUCUCUGCUUUAUAGAUGAGAGGGUCAGAAUAAACCAUAGAAGAGUACAAUAUAGAAAACCCUGACAGCCUUGUUGUGGAUAGUGUAUCUGUUGUUAACCUCUCCAAAACUUCAGUUUGACCUCAUUAAUAUAUUGAACUGAACCAAUGAGAAGACCUUCAUAUGUGAAGGAAAGAAAUAGAUCUGUUAAAUGAGUUUGAGAUGGCCAUAGAUGGUUUUGAGGUAGAUUUGCAGUCUGUCUGUGUAUGGAAUUUCUGUAUUUAAGUUCAUCUUAUGGUAGGACCGUGUCCUUUGUGAUGAUUUCUUACUUGCUGAACAACUUCACACCCACCCACCCACAGACACACACACACACACACACACAUAUAUUGAUUAACUUUGUUUUGUUUUCUUGUUUGGAUAUGCAUUCUUGAUCUUGAACUCAAGCAUAUUACAGAACUCUUCUCCUGCAUGCAACUCAGAAACCUGUAGCCCGUUACAAAGUAUGCUGUAAAUAUAGACAACCUUCCCAUAAAAAAACGUAGCUGCCUAAAAGCUAAAAUUUUGGUUCAGUGAUAGGGUAAAUCUUUCAAUCUUACUAUAAGCUAUUAGUAAAAUUUUGGCCUUCUGAGUAGUUGCAGGCAACCUAAGCAGAGUCUGCAUGGACUAUAUGUCAAAAAGCAUAUAUUCGGCAGGAGUGGCCUAUAAAUAGUUGGCAGGUUGCACAAGGUCGCAAGUAAUGGAAAAUGUCCUGAUGCAAUUUGGCCAGAAAUUUUCUUUCACAAGUGUAAAAAUUUGGUUGAAUUAGCACGUGAAUUAAAAUUAUGCAUUUCAUGGAUGAGUUUCUCAUGUUAAGAUUCUUUAUUGUUCCCUUUGAAACAAAAUUCCUGUUUGAAUAAUAAAGUUGUCAAUUGCUGGUUCUAUAUUGGUUUUCCAAGAAAAUAAUUUCUAUACAGGACUUGUGAAAAAAGAAACAAGGAGGCAAAAGUAGCCUUUUAAGCCCCUGAACCACCUCUAGCUUUCCAACCUAAUGAAAGAGCCUAUUUCGAGAAAUGACACCGAGCUGAUAAGAUGGUUAAGAUUAAAAAAAAGACUGUCAGAAACUAUAAGCUUAGUCUCAGUCUCAGAGGUUUUUGUUUUUUUCUUUUCCCUUUUUUUUUUUUGGGGGGGGGGGGUCAUUAUAGUAUCUAAUGCUUCUUCUGUUAUGUUUUUUUCAUGGUAUACUCGUCCAAAGGGUCCUGCUAUUCCCCUGAUUUAUUGGUUUUGGAAGUCAAAGCAUGUCCUGUCUGCUUUGAAGUCUAAACUGGAUUCACCAUAAUACAUACUCAAUAUUGGCUUUGAAAAAAAUAUUCAUGUAAUGAGAGAUUGCCACCUUAGGGGAGAAAAGUACCAAUCUCAAGUUCCUUCACUUGAAAAAAUUGGAAUCCCUGGGAUACCCACUCUUGCUGCUCCUAGUAGAGUUUUGUAACUGAGGUAGUUAGCAAUAUAAUUAAUUCUACUCUUGUUCCACACGAUGCAAGAAAUUAGGAACAGAGUUGGGUUUUUACAUGUCUGCCAGAUAUCUACAUUCUUUUAGUAAGAAAUAGUUGGAAUCAUAAGACUAGAAAUGCGUAAGCAAUUGUUUUUUUAUAUGUUCUUGAACUAUUACAAUAGCCCUCCUGGUUAUGCAAGUCUAACCCUGAGUAGUAAAUGUUACCUAUUCAAGCUUAUUGUUCCUGAUUUUUAGCAGUAACUUAGUUUAUUGUCUUUUAUUGUUCUUUGAGUUGCCCUGAAAUUGAUUUACAAUCUAAACUUGCUGACAUGAUUCCCUCUUCUUUUUUCCCUUCUGCCAAUUGCAGGUGUAUGCUGUUGGGUCAUCACUUGAGAGGCUUAGAGUACAGGUUGCACCUGAGCUGGGCUGUUGGGUCAAUAUAAGAAGGAAUGAAGUUAAAGAAGCGUGCAUCAACAUUGUUGCUCAUAUUAGUUGUAUUUUGUUUUUCUUGUCUGGAAACCACCACCUUCCCUUUGAUAGCUUCUCCCCCCGCUACAUGUAUAAUUUUACAUGUGCCUUACAUUUUUAAAAUCAUGCCAUAAUUUUCCUUUCUCCCCUUUAAAUCUGAAAGAUAUAUGUUCAGAAAUUUGCCAAAUUCUUGAGCUGAUGUUCAAAUAAUGCAGAUUAACACUACAUGGUUCCAACCUGAGCUUAGCAUUGGUAUGUAUCCUUAAACUUUGCCAACAAAUUUUGAUAGUGAUACCUUUCCCACGUUGUUGAACGUUAUAAAAUGUGUUCAUUAUUAUUGUGCUCCAACUCAAUUAUUAUUAUAUGAAGGUGUGUCUUUAUGCAUAUUUCUUUAAUUUGAGCAUAUACUUGGUAGAUCGAAAUCUGAAUUUGGAAAACCGAUUCAUCAAGAGGACCUCGAGUUGUAAUUUUUAUGGAUGCUGGAAAACAGACCUUUGCUUAUUUUAUUUUGGAAAAUUUUGUUCCAUAGUAACUAGGCACGAAUUCUUAUAGGUAAAUAACUGGAAAAAGAUGCAAAAAAUGAUUCAGAAACAAACAGAAUUCCAUCAGUAGAGGAUCAUAAAGACUGAGGUUGCAUCUGGAAAUGUAGUUAUUCAUUUAGAGAGCACAACUUUCUUAUUUACUUGUUUCUGCAUGGGGCGCUGAAGUAAAUCAAUACAUUAAUGUGAAACAUCACUGAUUCUUGAUCCUGUCAGGCAGCAUAAAAUCUUUUGAUCCUUUUAAAAUCUGUUGUUAAUUGCAUUUGAGGCUCAACUGAGUUAUAAGUAAUGGCUCGAGCUCAUGUCCAUAUGUGAUAACUCAGGCUGACCUUGGUACCAUAUUUUGAUUCUGAUAUUGCAGCAUGCCUAUAACGUGCAACUGGCUUAACGAAGAGACUGGUUACAGCUGUGUUUUUUUUUUUGUUGUGAUUGUCACCCAGUAAUCCUGAUAUAAGUUUCUUUCCCUGCAAACUCAUUAGAUAAUUCAUUCUAUUGCCUUGCCCCUAAGUAACUUCCAAUUUUAGAAGAUAUCAGGUAUACAGUUUAAAAUGAGGGAAUGCAUAAAUUGUUUUGGGGGGUGUUUUAAUUUUCAUUUUAUUGUCCAAGCUAGUAAGCCCCCGAGUGGUCAGAAAUAAAUAAAGAUUUGGUAGGCAGUGAUUCAUGCUGACCUUGCCUUCUUCCAAAACAUUCGAAUUUUAAAGUGCAUAUUCUGGAUAAGAACUAUCCUGUGUUGAGUAUACGCAUUGAAUUGUAACCUCCUUUCCCAUGCUAAAAAAACAGAACCUUUUAGUAGACAGACUCCAGAUUUGCAAUACAGACUCACAAAUCAUAAUCAUUAGUGGAAACUUUCAUGAAUUAAAGAUGGCUCAGCAGAUGAUGUUUGCGUCUUUUUCCAGUUAGCCGUGCAAGAUAAGGUGAUUCGAUUUGGAAUGAUAUAAAGGGAACAAAGGAGUGAUUCAAGUUUGAUGCAAACAUGCGGUAGACUUCAUUGCUCCUGAUCCUUUGUGGUAAUGAUCAGAAGCUCAACUUUCUUGGUCUUCAUGUUCUCCAUUGAUAUCCUCUAUUACCUUGAACAUCUUAGGAAAAAUAUGAUUUAUAAAUGAAAGCUAAGAAAAGCAAGAUGCUUUUCAGGAGCCUAGCAAAACAGGGACAGCUCUUAUGCUUAGCAUGUCAAGCUUCCGUAAGAGGAUAGUUUUUCAGCUAUUGGAAGGGGUGGGGGAUGACCGGGGGGCGGUAGGAGAGGAGGAGAACUAGGUUCAAGCCUUUGAAGAAGGGGUGGGCCUUGACGUCGGCCGGGCCGCCAGCUGGGGGAAGGCGAGGGGCUGCUUGACGAUGUUGCGGAGGGUGGCCUCGUUGCUGGGCCCGGCGAAGGGGUCCAGCCGUAGGGAAGCUCGCAGAGGAGGACGCGGCGCUGCCAUGAGACUGUGGGAGCGGCCGGCGGCGACCUUGUGGGCGACGUACUCGUGGGUGCCGACGAAGGAGCACGACCGGGCGGCGACCGGCUCGGCGACGAAUCAGCGGGAGGGGAGGGAAGGGCUGGCUUGCGAGAGCGGAAGAGGCGGUCUGGGAGGCAGGACGUCGGCGCUGUCGGAGGUCGAAGGCAGCGGGCUCCAAACUUCAUCAAGAUUAUCGUGGCUUUCAAUAGAUGGAUGUAUUACGAAAUUGUGAUAUUUUACUCUUAUUUUAAAUAUAAGUCAGAAAUUUAUAAUAGAGAUCUCUAUCGUGCAAUGAAACUUCAUGAAAUUAAGUUCAAGACAUCAAAUUGGAAAUUUUUCAACAUCUAAUAUAAUUUGUAACUUUUUAUUCUUUUCUUAUCACGUUGUGUUCUCUCUGCCUUUUCUUUUUGAGAGAAAGAGGAGGGUACAGCACAUCCCUGAUUGAAAAACAUAAUCACAAUUUUAAAAUUAAAAACUUCUGAGCGCAGAGCAAUGCACCUUUUUGAUCACAAUGGCAUUUAGGUAUCUCAGAAGUCUCAUUCGCUCUCUCUCUCUCUCUUACUUCCGAAUGUAUUCCUUCUGUUACCUUUUUCAGAAAGAACUCGUGAUUUGUCCCGAGAAUAGCUGAUUUAGCAGCACUAAAUGAUAUUCCUCCACGUACGCUAUCCGCUGUAAACAUAAGCCAUAGCCAGCUCUUCCUAUAACCUCAGUAACAGCUUGGAUACACUAAAACAACAGUAGAUCACCUAAAUGCCGCCACCAUCCAUCCUCGUUGGUCGCGUCUCAUAUGGCGACACUUCCGCUUCACUUUUUUAUCCAAUCCGGCAGAGCACUUGCUGCGUCCAGCUCGUAUAACGCGUCAGGCAUCUCUGGAAUCCAACGAGAACUUUCCAGAUUAUGAAACCAAGACUUCUUUUUCUUCAUGAAGAAGAAAACGAAAAGAAUCCGAAAAAAAAUGAUGCAGCAAAAAAAAAAAUGCAAUUCGAUUAUUCCAUUAUUAUUAUUAUUAUUAUUCUAGCUCUUCGGAUCCAUCAUCAUUAUUCGAAUGCAACAAAAUAAUUUGCUAACGUUGGUUGGCGAACAUCAAAUUCCACCCUCCCUUGAAUCAUCAGAACAUGAAAAGAGUUCCUCGAAAAAAAAUCAAGUAUUCAACGAAAGAAAAUUAAGAAACUCUGGAAUUUCUAUCGACAAGAAAACGAUGGAAUGAAUCCCUCGAAAGAAGAGAGAAAAAAAUGAACGAAAUAGCGAGCAAUGUCUGUGGAGAUCCAAAUCAAAAAAAAAUCCGUAAUCGAACGAACGAGAUCAAUGCCCGGUCUCUGCAUCCAUCCGAAUAAACUACUCCUCUGCGGCUGUCGCUUUCUCUGCUGUACAGCGCCGGCGGUGGUGACGGGAUCACCCCAUAAAAAAAAAAAAGAAAGAAUAGAAUCUAUGACCAUAGUCUACAAAGAAACGACAGUGGCGGCGGAGGAAUCGGAGUCGGAGUCGGAGGCGGAGGACGAGUGCGGCGGAAGGAAGAGAUCGUAUGGCGCCCAGAGGUCAUCGAGAGGGCAGGGCUUGCCGGCGUCGAGGCGGGCCCAGGGCUUGCCCUUGCCGCUCCAGUGCAUCAGGCUCACCGGCCCCGGGUGGAGCGGCCGGCAGUCCCCGGACAAGUUGUCGCCACCGAGGCCGUGCUGGUUCCAGCGAUGGUCCACCCCCUCCACCUCGCCGGCGAACACCAGCAGGAACGGCGGCAGCGAUCCCAGCUCGUAGAUCCGCCUCAUACGCUGCACCUUCAUCCAGUGCUCGAUCUUCUGGCGGUACUCCCCGGCCCGCCACCGCGCCAGGUCCAUCACCAUCACCCCGGUAUUAAAGUAGCACGGGGGCCGCCGCCGGCCGUAGAAAACCCUCUGCCCGUCCCAUCUCUCCCAGAAAUCCUCCGCGAAGUACCGGGUGAAGUUGGCGUGGCAGUACUCCGGCGCGGCAAUCACCGCCGGCUCCGUGAUGCGCGUGUCCCAGAGGCGGCGGAUGUCGUCGACGACGAUGACAUCGGAGUCGAGGUACAUGACCCUGUCGACGCAGGGCUCGAGGAGGUCCGCGAGGUAGUUGCGAGCGUAGUUGAGGGGGUUCUCCAGGGCCUCCCGCACGGAGGCGGAUAUGAGGCCGCGGACCAAUUUCUCCCGGAGGGGAUAGAUCUUGAAGUGGAGAGAAGGGAAGACGGAGCGGACGGUGCGGUGGAGGUCGGAGGAGGAGGGGCCGGCGGAGGCAACGAAGUGGAAGAAAAUAGAUUCGGGGCACGACGCGUGUUUGAGGAUGGAGAAGACGGCGGCGACGGUGCCGCGGAGGUAGUGGGAAUCGAGGGUCAUUGCGAUGUGGACGUAGGAGGAGUCGCAGGCGGCGACACCACCGUGGAAAGGGGAGGCCGGGCACGCAUCGCCGUUCCGGAACUGGGGCGCCUCCACGAACCGGUCGACGCCGGCGGGGAAGGAGCGGACCGCCUCGGAGGGAGAAGGGAGGAGGAGGAGGAGGACGGCGAGGAGGAGAGAAAAAGGCAUGGACGCUGCGUUCUUUCGGUUCAUCUUUUUUGCCGACGGAGAGAUUCAGAGAUGGAAGCCGAGACGGGUGGGUUAAAGGAGGGAAGGGAAAGAGCCCAAGAGGGAACGGGGAGCGGCAGGGUGGGGUGGGACGCGUACGAAUCGCUGUCCUUGGCUGCUUCAAGCCCGCAGCGUAUAAAUUUUUGCCGUAGCCUACCCUCGGGCUCGCCUCGAUGGACAAUUGGACACGACUCAACCGUCGCGCGUCGGGCUAGUGACGAGGAAACGCGAGCUGGAGGGAUGGAGUCAACCGGGGUUUGAGAUUGAUGCGUUCUCACAUCAAUAGGUUUUCUCUGUCCGACCUGGCCGCUUUUUUUUCACCCUGAUAUGGAUUUCUUUUGUGCGACAAGGCGGCAGGCAGUAGUUAUGGCUGGGUGAUAUUUUAUUGGUUAUAUAUUGUGUCGGACUAUUAUAUAAUUAUAGUAAUAACUAGUGGAUCGGUGGCCAACUGGAUUAGCAGCUGGGGCUGCCAAUUAUUUGACUGAUAGUGAUGGUUGAUGGAGGAAAAGUGAUGGAGGACCGGCUGUGUCCUGAAGUUGAGUAAGAAUGGCCCUUAAGCAUGGCAUGAUUUUUAAAAAAAUGGCUGUAAUAAACUCUGUUUUAUUAAAAAAAAGAAGAUAGAAAAUUCGAAUAUUUUCCCUAAUAGCUUUUUAUAAAGAGUGAUAAUUUUAUUAUUCCAUGAACAGCUUAAAAUAUCUUGCAUAAGGCAUCUUACAGCCAAACCAUUUUGUUGUUGAUUAACUAAGGCUCCGUUUGAAAACUUGGGAUUGAGAAGGAAGGAAUGGAAUAAAAAGAAAAAUUAAAAAUUUUGACAUUUAGAAGUUUUUUAGGAAAAGAAAAGGAGGAAAUAGGAGGAAAAAUUUUGGUCUCCAAUUUUUUCCUUUCUUUUCUCCCAUAAGUGAGAAAAUUUGGAGAGAAAAGAAUUGAAACUUAAUAAAUUUUUUAUAAUACCUAUUUUACCCUCUACUCAUAAGCAUGCUCCUUUUCUCUCCAAACUCCAAAAUAAGAGGAAAGAAAGUACUUUUUUUUUUCUUCUAAAACUUCCAAACAAAACAAGAUGAAAGAAAAGUCUAUUCUAUUCCAUUCUUUUGUUUUCCCUCCUCAUUAAAGUUUUUUUUUCUUUUCUUUUUUCACCAAAACUUCCAAACAGAGGCUGAGUAUUUUUAGUCAGCGUAGGAGCACUCUUUCUAAAUCUUAUGAAGUUAACUUUGUUGUCUGCUGUUAUUACUCCCAUAUUAGAACAGUUCGUACUAUCUUUCCUAAUUGCAAGAGUGAUGAUCUUUCUUGAGUCUGCUUUUUAGGAUAACAUCAAGAUCUUCAACAUUAGUGCAAAAGUGCUUCCAUACGUUCGGUUGAAUCGACAUUUGACAAAGCUUCUACAAGCUCUCCUUUAUGAUUUCUAAUAGUUAGCCCCAAUACCAGCUGUUCCAUCUUGUGUAUAAUAGCUUCAUCUGGUGGCCAGUGCUUUAAUAUGUUUAGGUCAAACAACAUCUCUCUCUGCAAACACUGAAAUUACCUUGAAAGCCAGGUGUUGGUAACUAUCUCUCUCCCAACGUGUAAUGACUCGCCAUUUCCUACUUGCCACCGAGCUCCUGCAGCCUCCAAAAUAUCCAUAUGUUUCUUGAUGAGUAGGGUGGAUGAUGUGCCAAUAGAGCUUCUAAGAUGGAGCAACUAAACUAUUGCUGCUUCUAAGAUGGAAGUGCAUUGCCUUCUAGUGCCUGUAAAAUAUUGUGCUCUGCAUUUGAAGGAGCCUCCAACCUUGAUUUGCAUUAAAGCUUUAUUGAAAAUUUCCAAGUCUCUAAAUCCCACGCUGCCUUCGUUCUUCGUCUUGCAGAAUCCAGUUGGAUCUUCCUCUCAUUUUUCAUAUGCCCCGCCAAACUUUUCCUAUUAAGCUAUUCAGCUCGUCCCAUCAAGCUGUUGGCAAUUUUAAUCAGUGCUUGGGCCACUGAUUAGUACAUCUUUGCCUGCUUGAAGUAUUAAUUUUUCCUUCCAUCCUUCUGGCUUUCUUUUUACUCGUUCCAAUACCUCCCCAGAGGCUUUCUUCUUGGAUCUACCGAGAAUAGUUGGAAGACUCAUGGUACUUUAUAUUGUCCAAAUGUGGUAUGCUUGUGAUUUGAUCAUGAACUCUUCUUGGGGCGUUGGUGCUGAAAGUAAGAGCUGAAAUCUUCAAUAUUAACCACAUAUCUGUGGGUUGGCUUUUGCUGCUUUGCAAAAAGGAGGCAGCUGUCUGCCAAAAAAAGAGAUGAGAGAUCCUUGGUUCAUUUCUGGACAUAGACACUCCCAUGUAUGGCUUGCAUGGUUCUCUUUCACAUAGACACUCCCAUGUAUGGCUUGGUUCUCUUUCACCCUUCCCCUAAGCGCUGUAGAAACAAAUAUGGAGAAGGUGGGGUGUCCUUGUCGAAGCCCCCUCGAGGGCUACUUUAAAAUGACCCUUGGGUUCACUAUUGGUCAUGACAGAAUAAGAAACAGUAGACCCGGGUCAUUAUAAGAGAAAUCCAUCUGUCAGCAAGGCCUAGAAUUCUCGUCAUAUUCUCAAGAAAAAGAAAGGUCAUUCUAAUAUUAAGUUUUAGGGCCAAGAGGCCUUCCCCGACCGACUCUCAUUUUUUUUUUUCAAAAAAAAAUAAUGAACCAUUUCAAAAGCUACCAAGAUGCUAUUAGCAAUCGAUUUGCCCGGAACAAAAGCACUUUGAUUUUCUAAAAUGAUUUCACCGUAUAUUCUUUUGAGCCAAUUAGCCAAUACUUUGAAAAUGAAUUUGUAGACCUUACUGCACAAGCUAAUAGGUCUAUAUUAGAAAUGUUUUAAGGAAUUUUAUUUUAUAAUUUACAUUGGGAACAAGAACAAUACGAGUAUAAUCGAUUUGGAAAAAAACUAAUAAUUAUUAAGUGUUGCCGCUGAGAACCAGUCUAUCUCAGGCGCCGAGUGGGAGAGAUGCUGGAGUGCUUGGCGACGAGCUAUUUCGAUCGUACAAGGCCACAAUUCAGAAUGAAGAGCUGCCAUUGAAGUUUUGGCCUGUGGUCAACCUCCGAUUUGAAAUAGUAAGGACAAAAAAGUCCUCGUAUCGAAGUGGUUCGGUGGAGACUCUCCAAUGCCUAAGUCAGGACGAUGCUUUGGGAGCAUAGGGAAAUUUUGGUGGUCUUUCAGGGCACGCGAGCACUUAUCUGGAAGAUCCCCCGAGGAAUGAAUUGUAUAGGCGGAGGCGAGAACCUGUAGCCCCAAAAUUUGGGCAUGUAAGUCGGCCAUGUUUGGCAGGCCUCCACCCGUUCCAAGAAUCAGGCAUGGGCGUUUCGCAUGUGGAUUGCGUCUUGCCUGUUUGGCUGGCGAGUUCUCAGAGGUCGCUCGAGAUUUCGGGUGAGGUGUCGCCAAUUGUAGGAACUUUUUGAAAUUUAAAGUCAGCUAUGCACUUCUGGGUUUGCCACAUGGUUGGCUUUAACUGGCAAUUCAAAGGCUUCAUGUUGAGCUUUGGUUGGCCGGCUCUUUAUAUGAGCUGUGGUCGGUUCUAAGACCUAUCACUUACCCUCCACUUUCAUAACCGAUACGAGCUUGCUAGCUAGGGUUGCGGAAGUAGUCUCCUCGGUAGGGCCAACCAGUGAAGAUUGCCCACAAAGCCGAAUAAUUGUCAUGUCUCUUUUUAAUAUCGACGCAUAGAUUUUCCAGAUUCCAUAUUUAUGAGAGGCAUGGUCGUUCUUGUCGUAAUUAUGAAGAGGAUGUUUGGAGGCCGAAUGGAUGCUUGAGGUAUGACGGCGAUCCGAAAAAUCACUCGAGGGCAAACGUCUAGGCAACACAUGGCCAGGGUUGGUGAUGUGUCGUACCAACAUGGGUCACCCAUGUCUUCUAUAAAUAAGGUGGUUGGUUGCCACAAUCCUUCUAUCUUGUCCCUUCCUGCUCCCGCAAUUUAGGGCUCGUUUGGUUCGCGGGAAGCAUUUUCCCUCCUAGGAAUAUGAUUCCUAGGAAACAAAUUCCUAAGAAGAGAAUGCCUAGGAUAGUACUUUUGGCAUGUUUGGUUGACUAUGGGAAAGUGACAAAUUUCUAAAGUGCUUAUGUUUGGUUGGCCAUCCACUUUCCUAGGAAAGUUAUGUAUAAUUCCUAUUAUGCCCUUAAUAAAAAUUAGGUUUUUAAUGCCUCUUUAAUGCUUCUUUAAUGCUGAAGGGACUUUUUGGGAAAAAGUAAAAAUGGAGUGAUUCCCGCUUCAUGGAAAAGUAACUUUCUCAUGUUUCUCAUGGAAAAAACUUUCCAAUGAAAUGUGGGAAUCAUAUUUCCGUAGGAAUACAACUUUCUCUUUUCUCUCCUUUGAAAACUCCAACUAAGCAAGAAGCAUCUCAUUACUUUUCCGUUGACCACACUUUCCCCCCUUUUUUUCUCGCGAACCAAACGAGCCCUUAGAGAGAAAGAGGGCAGGCAUAGGGUUUGCGCAGCCAUUUUCUUUGUGUCUCUGCGUUGAGAUCCAUCUUCAUCAUCCUUUGUUUGGGCUUUUCUCCCGUUCUCGGUGGGUAGUUAUGCACUUUUGGCUAAUUUUGAGUCUUCUUCUUUUCCUUGCCUCCUUUUAUCCUUCUUUGUUGUGCUCAUGGAUUCACCCGCCGUGGGCUGGUCUUCAAUGCUUGAGGUCCGAUGGAUAUUCAACUUGUAUGUCAUUGUCCGAUCGUCUUCCAUUUCAUCCUACUAUAGCUGUCGAAAUUAACAAAGCAGCCCCAUAGACUAGUUUUUUGGAUUUGUACUAGUCAGGUAACGUUCUACACUAGUGUAAUAUAAUAGCUAAACACCAAUUCUAGUUUAUACCUUCACAAAGACAUUAUUCAUUGACUUGAGAAAAUGGUCCAUGGUAUUUUUGGGCCACGACCAGUUGUGCAAACACAGCAUGCAAGUGAUGGUUGAUGAAUUGGAUUCAGCGACCUCGUGUUUUUUCCUGGUCAAAACUGAACGGGGCAGCAGCGAAAUGCAGCCUAGAAUACCAGCGGCGCAAGAAUAUAUGGUUCGCAUGCACCUAGAAAAAACUUUUGUUUCGAUGCAUUACCGUUGACCAGUGACCAGUUUUUUUACAUAAAGGAAGCGGAGAUUAAUCGUUACGCAAGAACACUGACCUCCCUCUUUGCCUUACUUCGCAGCAAUGUUAUAGCUAACAGCAGCUCUAAGUUAUACAUACAUUCAUUACAGCAUUGAUUUCUAUCAUCGAAAUCAUAUUUGUUACAAGAAAAUGGUCCGUACUUGUUUCGAACUAUGACUUGCUGCAGCCAUGACGGGGUCAAUAGAAGCAUGAGGCAUGCAACUGAUGGCUGAUCUCUUGGAUUUAGCGAACGCAUGCUGUUUUUUUUGGUUAAAGUAGAACCACAGCCUAGAAGAGUCCUUUGUCUCCGUGCGUUGCCAUUUGACCGAGCAUUACGUUACGUAAAAGAAUUUCAGAUGGUUACUCAUGAAAACGAACCUCGUUAUUCUAGAUGUUCCUCGAAGCUCCGUCGGUGGGGGAGGGGGAGGAUUCGUGAGCAAGUUGGCAUAAUACUUUUCGUGGCAAUACGUGGACUGCAUGGAUGGUUCGGGCUACCGAAACCAGUCAAAGGAGCUUGCUUUCGUUGACCAACCUCGUGCGACCAUCCACAUCUCUGAAGAAUAUUUUUGCUUCGUUUAUUAGCAUUCCCUGACAGUGUGCCACAGUAGCUUAUGAACCGCUCUAAUUUGUGGCCAACGUUAACACCAUUGCCGCAAUCAUGAUGUUCUUAGCAUUAACUCUUUUUUUUCUUUUUGAACCAUGGACAUAUAAAAUGGCAUAUCAAUAUUAGAAAUGAGUUGUGAAUAUUAUCUGACAGCAUCCUUACGGAAAAAAAUUAUAAAGGUUCUUUGCUGAAUGCCCACUCUGCCAGCCGUUUCGGAUUGGCAGUGUAAAUUGUCUAACAUCUUAGAUCAACACUUUAUAUUGAUGCCUAUACUCCCAUUGUCAACUUUUUUUUUUACUUCAUUACGAUAUUGAGUAAUUCUUAGGACAAUUUAUAGCGAUCAUUGAUCAGUUAGUGUUAAUUGCAAACAAUGAUAUACCUUGCUGGCUAAUCAACCUUCCUUGAAAGUUAGGCCUUUAGGCUGCAAGAGUGUACAUUUCGUAAGUGUAAGUAACCACACAGUUAGCUUAUUCAGCAGAUUAGCCAGAAGGGAGACGAGAUACGGAUGAAUGAUGGGAUUUCAAUGGACGAGUAUCUACUUUUCUGUCAUGAUGGCUACUUCCAUUAUGUCUAUGUAUGAUUUACAUAUACAUGCAUAUACACAUCGUAUGCAUGCACACAGACAUAUAUUGCCCAUGUCUUGUUUACUAAUCGACCAGCCAAUGCUGAUCGCAUGUGGGAUUUGUCUGAGCUAAGCCUUUUUGCACAUGAGAAUGCAGCGAUGCUUGUUUGAAAAAGUGUAGUUUUCUACCUGCAAUAUAUAUAUUGCCCCUGAGGGACCUCUCCAUGACUUGGGACAUAAGGUAUAGGUCCACAACUCCAUCAGGAAGUUCAGAAAAAAGCACGAAAAUAACAGGACACCAUUUUCUACGAAAAGAACAAAGUGUUUGUGGAAUAAUUAGCUAUUUUACCAUUGAACCGAGGUUGAGAGCUGAGGCCUGGGCAUGAUUGCAUGUGUUAACAAUGAAAAACUACAAGGUUUUAUAUUGAAAUAUACUACUCAGCCAGGGUCUAAAAAAAAAUUUACAGCAUAUACUAGUUUUAAUGGUGUUGCCCAGACUUUAUAUUGAAAAACUACAAGGUUUUAUAUUGAAAUAUACUACUCAGCCAUUAAACGCAUAUCCAAUUACAGCAUAUGUACUUCUAUUAUUUUUAUGUUAAAGAAAAAAAUUAACAAGUAUGAUAUAUUUAUUAAGGAUAGGAAUGGUAUUGAGGAUCAGAUUAAGCAUAACUCACAAAGCUUGAUUGAUACAGUAAAAAAGUUUCAAUUUAAUAAAUAACCAUAAGAAAAUAUGGAGUCAUAUUAGGAAUGCAUUUGAUAAUUUGUUAAAUUUAAAUUUCAAAUAUUAAUCUUAUAAAUAGUGAUCAAUUUAAUCAUAUUGAUAUAUUCUUUACUUGUGUGUCAAAUAAUUUACUAAAGACGUAGAUAUAUUGUUUAUAUGAAAGAAUAUCAAACGUGUACAAAAUUGAUAAAAGAUGAUUGCUUUUAUGAAGCUGUGUUUUACAAGUUGACAGACAACUCUAGUCAGGCAUAAAAAUACUUACUGAAUUAAAUCAAUAUUCCUCCCAUUCAUUACAUUUUUUACAUUUACUUGGAUUCAUAAAUUAUUAAAAAUAUUAAUUUUUUUCAUGAAUCCAAGACACUAAAUAAAUUUCUUUACAAAUCACUAUUUUUAUAUUUGAUAGUAGAUUAUUAUUUUUAAUAAGCAAUUAUUUUUAUGUUUUAGACAUGCAAUGCAUGCGUCCCUACACUAGUUUAUACUACGAAUAAGUGAGAUAGGACCGAUAUCAGUGAAGUUCUUCGGAAAAGUCACCAAAUUUAAAGCAUGGAUAAACUUUCAGGCAUGCCAUGAAAAUGUAAUAAUUAUGCAAUGCUGACAAUUUUAUCAGCAUGAAUUUCAGCAAAACAUGUCUUUGGUAGCGAUGACCUCUAACAAACAAAAUUUAGCAUUCUUUGAAUAGAGGACACUCAGAUUUAACAGAAUCCUAACCAUCCAUCAUUUUUUUUGCCUGAACAUUAGUGAGUCAGUUCCUUGCAGAAGUACAGAGUGUUUGAUAAUGUUCUUGUAGUGCUUCAUGGAAGAACAGCUUUCACCUCCUUCCUAUCUGCACCAAACACCUAUAACAUAACAAGUUCAGUUUAAUCAUAAUGUACCAAUAGUUCUUCGCAUAACACACCAAUCAAUAUUCCUCCUGACCCACUACCUCAUUCAACCUAGGAGGAAAACCUCCAGGCUCCAAUCAUACUGACCCCAUAACAAGCUUGGUGUAGGAAAAGGCCCGCACAAGUUCAUCCAUGCACUAAUACAAUCUAUGAGGAAGAACCAGAUGGCUUAUACUAGGGUUUUCCAUUAAGCUGUCAGACUGCCUAGGCAGCCCAAGACAAGGAACCGUUCAACAGCAGCUUGACACCUAGGUGGGUGCUGGGAUGCGCAGAUUUCAUUCUUAGCAAUAUCGGACAUGUAUCUAAACUAUUAGCACAGCUGACCCACUAUUCUUCUAAUAUACUUCAGACCAAAUUUGAGCCUCCAUGACAAACAUGAAGGCUUGAAAAUCAUCAUGACAGCAUUAAGGAAUUGAAAUGUUUCAAAAGGCCAUGCUCUCUUGCCCAAAGAAACAUGCUCUAAAGUAUAAUAGUAACAACAGGGAGGGAAGAGGGGUGGAGAGAUGCUCUAAAGUAUAAUUAUAACAACAGGGAGAGAGAGAAAGAGAGGAAUUAUCAGAUGCUGCUUCAAAAAAUUUUCAUUUUAAGGAAAAAAGUAGAAAAAGAAGACGAGAAUUAAUACAGAAUUAAAAGAUUUUCUUUAAAGGGAAAAGUAGAAAAAGAUGAAUAGAGAAAUUCAUUUACCUCGACACCAAAACCUUUUACGUAAACAUUUGUGAAGAGCUCAGAUGGAUCAAGCAACGGACUUUCCUGCAAAUGGUGAAUGAGAAAACUUGUGACGAACAUAAGCAUCAUGAUGAGAUUAGAGAGCAAGACAGAAUGAAAUGUUGAAAAUAAUAAACAUGAUGAGCUUAAUGAGAAAGACAUGAAAAAAUGUUGAAAAGAAUAAAUCCCAGUGCAGUAUUAACCUUCGCUUGUUUGAUGGCUUCAUCUACCUCUUUUCUGAUUUCUUUCUCAAUAUCCUACAGAUAUAAAAUGGUCAGUGAAAAUGUGUCUAAAGGAACUCACAUGUCACAAUUGAUGCAGAUAAUUAUAACCAGGUAACCUCUUAGGCCUUAGCCCAACCCAACCCGACUCCAACCUGUUUUAUACAUUAAGCAGCAAAAGAAAAAAAGAAAGUAAAUGUAGAAAACAUUACAAAAAUCUUGUCCCAAUAUCAUUGACAUUAAAAAAGCAUUCAAUCUUUACAAGAAGUCCCAAACUAUAACAACAUCCAUAUUUAAACCAAAACCAAAAAGGAGUAUCCAUGAUCAUGAUUCAUCUCACUAUGAAUUGGAUUCAACAUUGGCCGAGCAUUGAGUUGAUUGAGUUUCAUUGUAGGAACUUGAGUUUAUGACAUCUUCUACAAUCUCAUCUAACUCGGCCUCCUCAACAUCUACAUUGAAAUAUUGCAAUAAUUAAUAAUAAAUUCAUUCAAAAAAUAAUAGAAAUAUAAUUAAUAAAACAAAUACCUUUCUUUUCAAACACCCAAUCUCGAGUACAAAUCAAAGCCUCGGCAAUAUCCGGUUUAAGUGCACUACGAUAAUUAUCAAGUACUCGCCCACCGAUACUAAAAGCAGAUUCAGAGGCGACCGUAGAUAUUGGAAUAGUUAGAAUAUCACGUGCCAUAAGAGAAAGUUGAGGAUAUUGAAACUGAUUGGCUUUCCAAAAAUCAAGGAUAUCCAAAUUGGACUUUCUAUCAACUCUAGGCUCAUCCAAAUAUAAUUCCAAUUGAGACUUCUGUGCAGUAGUCACAAAAUCAAAACUUUCAAAUGUAUCAAAAUCCUACAUUAUUGAAAAAAUGGAAUGAGUUAUUUAUAAGAAACAAUACCAUAUACAAGCACAAUACAUUUAUUUUAGAUAAAAAAGUUUUAUAUUACCUUAAAAGGAUCUGCUUUUCUACAUGCCUUAGAAGUUUCUGAAGAAGUACCAGUCUCCAUAUCUCCAUGAGUUGAUGUGCUAGUAGUUAGAGUUUUAGAAGAAGCAAGCAUAUACUGAUUAAAGAGAGAAAACAUACAAUCACGGAUGCGCAUGCUCUCAGUAGAACCAUACCCAUUCAACUUCUUAUAACAAUACUCCACAAACUGAAAUUUGUACCGAGGAUCCAAAACAACUGCCAUGGCCAAGAUUAAGCUAUGAUCCGACCAAUACUUUUCAAAUUUUUCAUACAUCUGCCGUGUCAUUCUUUGUAUGAAAGCAUCUGCACUCUGCAUCUCUUGCCUUAAAGUAAGCUCAAUCAAAAAAACUUGAGGAAAAUACAAGUUUGAUGUAGGAUAUUUAGCUCUGGAGAAUACUAAAGUAGCAUCAUAGAAUACACUCAACAACUUGCUAAUCUUCUCAACUUUACCCCACUCCUCUUCAGAUGGACAAUGCUUGUAAUUAGAGUCACUUAGUUUCAAAUGAAGAAAGGCACGACGGUAAAAGAGAGCACUCUCUAGCAUCAAAAAAGUUGAAUUCCAUCUUGUAGGAACAUCUUGCCUUAAGCAUUUUUUACUUUCCAAAGAAACUUGUCUAACACAUUCCAAAAAUUUUUGUUUCCGAACUUGUGAACCUCUCACAUAUUUAAUACUUUCACGAACUUUGAAGAUGGGUUCAUCUAUCUCCUUUAAUCCCUCUUGUACAAUUAAGUUAAGAAUAUGAGCACAACAUUGGACAUGAAAGAACUCACCAUCCGAGUAAAGUGCAUUAUUCAAAUUAAGUUGGAUCUUUAGCAUGUCAACAAAAACAUCAUCUAUCGAUGCAUUAUCCAAAGUCAUGCAACACAAUUUCUCUUCAAUCCUCCAAUCAAGCAACAAACCAUAAAUUAUUUCACAUAAAGAUAUGUCAUUAUGUGGAGGAGGCACGACACGAAAGUUAAGAACUUUCUUUUGUAACACCCAUUCUUCAUCAAUAAAAUGGGCAGUUAAACAUAAAUACCCAUCGGUAGUAAUGGAGGUCCACAAAUCCAAAGUUAAGCUUAUCCUAGAAGGAAUUGAAUGUAGCCACAAUACUAAUUUUUCCUUCUCUUUUUUAUAUAAUUUCAACAAAUCAGCCUUUACAGUAUUCCUUGAUACUAACUUGGCCUCCUCACAAACAUAAGCAAAUAAAGAUCUAAUGCCUUCAUACUCAACAAAUUGAAAUGGUAGAUCAUGCUUAAUAAUUGCAAGUGCUAGCAAUUCACGGAAUUUGUCGGGAUUAAACUUGGUAGAACGCAUUGAUAUGGACCCUUGAGAUUGUGAUAAUAUCAUCUGUCCUAUGUCACGGUUCUUUCUGCAAUUCUCUAAUUGACGUUUCAGUUUUUCGGUCCCAACCUUACUACCAAAUGAAUAUUCUGCACUACACUUUAUACACUUGCAUUUUUCAGUUGCUUCAUUUAUAUGAAAAUAUUGAUAAACAGGGGAAGUCAACUUUCUUUUACGUUUGCCAUGUGUGCAAUCACGUACUGUAUUAGAACCUAAGGGCGUCGAUUCAUUUGCCCUAUCAUCAUCACUCUCUAACUCCAUAUUCACGACGAGCUGUUUAUCCACCUAUAUCAUAUAAUUUAAAAUUAUAUCAGAAUACCAAUUUAGAAAAAAAAGAUUAGCUAAAAGAAGGAAAAUAAUAUAAUUCACUCUUCUAUUAGAAUCACAAAAUGUUAGACCUAAAAAUAAGUAACCAUGCUAAAGAAAUUAAAGGAAAAUCUAAAAGUCUGAAUCAGCAAAAUUGAUGGAAUAUAACUAAGGAAACUGACUCGUCGAACUUUGGUAUGUUUCUCCUGGUUCCACCUUCAAAUGCAAGUACAGGUAAAUAUGCCAAAGUUGGUCCCUUUAUGUCAACCAGAAAUUUCUGAAAACAGAAUAAUAUGUCUGAAAACCAUGUACCAAGAAUGCGAUCUCAGAAACAGUAACCAAUAAGUGAAAAGAUGAAUUUAGAUUUGAAAAAUAUCUGUCAGCAGAGUAUGAGGGGAUGCUGCACACCUGCCCACCUCUGGAAGGAUAUCAAAGAAAAUACAGCAUUUAAGCCUUUUCAAAUGUACUAGUAAAAGAUACUUACAUCUGGUUUACUAUCUACAACAAUACCAAGAACUGUAUCUUCCACACAUGGUACAUGCUGCAGGAAUACAAUACCUAAAAUAGAAGGGAGAAAAGAGGAUAAAAGAGAAGAAUCUGAAAAAAGCAUCAAUAAUGAAUUAUGCUCAGGAUCUGGGAUUUCGUGCUAAUUAGGCUAAAUGUGCAUAUAGCAUGCCAAUGAAGAGAGCAUAAAGAAAAGCCAGCACACAUCACCUAAGUGUGAAUGUAACUAGUAAAUAAAAAUAAUAAUAAAGAGAGCAGCAAAUUAACCAGGAUUUUAGAAGAUUGAUAAACAUAUGAAACAUCAUCUAAAACAUCUAGCAAAUGAAAGUAAUAUCAAAUUCCCAUAAAAAUUCAGGAUAAUCAAUUAUAACAGUAAGAACUUAAGAAAAUUUCCUACUCGUACUUGAUCUCAUUGACAUUCCAAUCACUACUUUUGAUGACAUUACAGAUAAGAGCAAAAAAAAUUCAAAAAAACAUGGUAGAUUAUCAAGUUAUACAUAACUAUAUAUUUGCACCAAAUGCUUUUGAUUUAUGUACUAGUCAUUGCACUUAACUUAUUGUUUUGCCUUCUUAAGAAGCCUAUUAAAUAAAGCAUCAGGUACAAUAUGCCACCAAACUUAAAAGGAAACAAGCAUCAGUUUUAUAAUUUAAUAAUACCUCUGCACAGUAAACCCCGUCUACACAUGAUAUAGUAAUAACUCUUAUAGUCUCCUUCCGGCAAAUCAUACAAUCUCUUGAAACCUGACUUCCAGAGUCACCUGCUUAGCAAGACAAAGUUCGCUUCUUUGAUCCUCUGAUGCCAAUAUCUAUGAUGAUUUAUAGAGUUUCAGGAUCGCUGCCUCUUAUUUGGCUGAUAGCAUCUCAAUUCACAAGCAUAAUCCAGUAAACAUAUAACCAACAAUAGUAUUACAUCCAUCAGGUCAUGCCAAAAAAAAGAAAAAAAGAGAAGGAAAAUCCCAAUAAAAUCCUAACGCCUUAUACAACCAGUCCCUUUUCAGAUCUAUUCUUUUUAACCAUCCCAUAACCUCCACAAAUUCCAAAUCUCACUUUUCACAUUUUCCUACUAACAAUUCCAUCCUCCCAAAGAAAUCAAUUCAGGAUAACAUCUAUAUAUUAACGUAACCAAACCCCCAAUUCCACUCCUCUAAUCCAUUCUAUUCCUCCAAAAAAAAGUUGUCUUAUUAUACAUAUUAUUUUUCAUAACAUGUGGUUGUAAGACUGCACUAGAAUUCUAAAUUUGAAAUCAUUUCCAAAAUUUCUCACCUUCAUGAUUCUGUACUCCCGCAUCAAGUUUUCAAACCAAAAAACAACAGUGAUGGAAAACAGCAGUGAUGGAGAAAAAGCAUUCUUAAACAGUAGAUGACAGUAAAACCGAGCAUCAGUCAGCAUCGAAAGAAUAAAAAUCACACGACCAUGUCAAUGCCACGGAAAGUGACAAAGAAAAAGAAAACUAUUACCAAAGAAAACCCACACCAACAGAAUUUGAAACUCAGAUCUCAACGCCACAGCCCCCAAUUCUUAUAAAGGCAAAGAAGACCAAAAUUAAGAGGCAAGAAUCUAAAAUCCACCAUCAUAACAACAAUCCACUUCAAAUGCUUCAGGAGAACGCCAAAUCGGGGGAAAGUAGCAUCCAAAAAGCGGGAAUCGCCCGCAACAGGUCGCGAUCGAAACAAAAAUCCUAACAAAUCCACACUUCUAGGACUCUCUCAUCGAGAUCUGAUGGAAAAUCACAACAGAAAUGCAGAACAAGACGAAAUGUAGGCACGAAAAGCGUAGAUCUAGAGUUAGGGUUUCAUACCUCUCAGUCUUCGGAUCCGAUCCGGAGAGUGAGAAAAGGCCGGGGAAGGAAUGGGAACCCAAGCGAAGGUGUGGCCUUCUUUUUCCCACUAUAUAUAGUGGUCGAGGCCAAAAGUCGCGAUGGGCCUUAUGCGCUCUGGCCCUUAUCUAUCAGCCCAACAGUUAAACAGGUUAUACGGAUAAACGGUUAUUUGAUCCAACCCGACCCAUAUAUUAAACGGAUUAAAUGGAUUAAACGGGUCAGACAUUGAAAAUAUGUAUCCAACCCAAUUAAUAAACAGGUUAAACAGGUCAACCUGUUUACGAUCCAAACAUGUUUAGGCCAAACCCAAACCUGUUUACGGCGUGUCGAACAUAGGUCGGGUUGGCGGAUCAGAUCAUAUUUUGCCACCCCUAAAUCUUGAGCCUACAUUACUGCAACGAAGUACUGCAACGAAGUACACUUGUAACUUCAGCCAUGUUUUCAUUGCUAUCCAUCAUAGACAUUAACCUAUUUUGCAUAGAAUUCAAUAAAGAUGUAUAAGCAUGAAAUGCAACUUUAUACGAUGAAAACAAAAAAAAAUAACAAGAACAAUAAAAGAAAAAUGAUUGCCCCAACAUAUACCAGCCCCCUUGAACCCAUCUCUUCAUCCCAUUCUUUUAAUACAAAUUAAUGAGAUAGCAAGAGAAAAGGCAGAUACAUAAUAUCCCAUUUUAAUGGACCAGAAAGAAAACUUUUAACCUAUAAUAAGUAUGUUAUAAGGGAGCAUAAAGCACAAACAUGUGUGCACAUAUGGCUUGGUUAAUGUUAAUGUUAGUUUAGAAGCAAGAAGUUGCUUAUAUGAAUGACAGCAAGAAAUACAAAAGNNNNNNNNNNNNNNNNNNNNNNNNNNNNNNNNNNNNNNNNNNNNNNNNNNNNNNNNNNNNNNNNNNNNNNNNNNNNNNNNNNNNNNNNNNNNNNNNNNNNNNNNNNNNNNNNNNNNNNNNNNNNNNNNNNNNNNNNNNNNNNNNNNNNNNNNNNNNNNNNNNNNNNNNNNNNNNNNNNNNNNNNGGGGGGGGGCGAUGCUUGGGGAGGCUCAUUAAAUACAAGGAACCAACUAUGAACAUAAAAAUAAUAAAUUCUGCAUGCACUUAGCAAAGAAGAGCAGCAAUUAUUAACUAAAAUACGAGCUAGAAUAAGAGCCACAUACCACAACUCAUAUAUAUGCAGCCAAGAUGGCUUACAGGGCAUGUUAAAAGAUUUAAUGGAUGCAAAAGCGAAUAAACUCGCCUUAGACAAAUUCAAACUCUCCUAAACUUCAGGCGCAUCCCUUUGUCCAGAAGAAUAAGAAGGCAUACUGUGGUUCAUAAAAACCAUAAUACCUCUAAAGCUCAGAAUUUUUUUAUAGCAAAUAUUAGCAAGCGGCUUUAGUUGACAGUUGAGUAUAGAUCACAUAACCACAUUUUGAGGGAGUUGACACCAGGUAACUUUAACAGAAAGAGGUGACAUGAAUUCAGUGCUUCUUAGUUGAAAGAUUUAUGCAAUAUAUAAAACAAAAGAAGAAAAAUUACACAAACUAUCGUUGAAGGGCCAAAAUUCAGUCACUUGUUACUUGUUAGUCACUCCAUGGUUACUAAUAUAAAAUCAAAGAAUAAAUCAGCCAACAAGCAAACAGUAAUCAUGGUUACAGAAACAUUUGGAAUACACUUCAGAUUUGGACUCGGAUCAUGCUUCACAGCUUCAGAAAAAAUAAAUCACUGUAAACACGAAAAAAUAUAAAAAGAAUCGAACCUCUGUCGGGAGUAGCGAAGUCGGAGUCGGGAGGAGGCGCUCGGAGGAAGAGAAGCUCGGAGCCGGAGGAGGCCCUCGGAGGAGGAGGCGGCGCUCGGAGGAGGCCUUCGGAGGAGGAGGCCCUGGAAGGAGGCGCUCGGAGGAGGCGGCGCCCGGAGGAGGGGCUCGGAGGAGGCGGCGCUCGGAGGAUGAAGAAUGGCGGUAGGGAUUCAGGACUCGGGAGAAGAAAACUGAAAACCCUAGCACAGUAGCGCUGUGAUUUCAAUUUACACCGCUCCAUUUCGGGUCGGGUCGGCUCUUCGGGUCGGUCCGGGUCAGGAUCGGGUCCAGAUUCAGUAAACUCGAAAUAGACCAAAAAAAAUAAUGGGUCGGAGCGGGCCGGAUCGGGUCCAGAUUUAGUAAAUCCAGACCCAAUCCAAAAAAUGGUUCGCAUCCAAUUUUAGGACCCAAUCCAGACUCGCAGGUCCUAAAAUUUGGAUGGAGGCGUGGCGGGGCGGAUCACGGGUCCAUCCAACCCAUUUCCAGUGUCAAUAUAGAACUGAAAUAUCAAUUAACACGGGGAACAAGAAGCAGUAACAUGCACGUUUAUCUCAAAGAGUUAGGCAGAUACAAAGCCUUUUUUUUUUUCUCUUUUUCUUGGGAAGAAAUUUUUUUUACAUAAAUACUCUUCUAAAAAUCAAAUUUUAUAUAAAUAUUUUCUUAAAAUUAAUAUUUAUAUAUAUACCUUCAUAAAAUAUUUGUUUUACUAUUUUAUUUUUGAAUAUGUAUCCACAUCAUUUAACGCUAUUAAAAAAUUAAUAAUUUUAAAUUAAAAUGACUAAAAUACUAUUAAUGGUAGGUGUAAAAAAAUAUUUAUAAGAUGAUAGUAAAAUUUUAUUUUAUUUUUAAUUAAAAUAAAUAUAAUUUUUGUUAACGGUGUUAGAACAACCGAGUAUUUGUUAAAAAAUAAUAUUUUAUAAAAAUAAAAAAUAAAUAUAAAUUUUUUAAAAAAUAUUUAUAUAGAUUUAAAUUUUUAAAAAGAUAUUUAUGAAAAAAAAUCCUUCCCGGAAAGAUACGGAGCCUCCACCCGUGUUACUCGCCGAGACCACGGGCUGCUCCCGCCAACCGCACGCCGAAAAGUUGGCUUCUGGGCCAUCACUCGGCCCACCGAAAUGAACGAACGGAAGGACUUGCUCGCCANNNNNNNNNNNNNNNNNNNNNNNNNNNNNNNNNNNNNNNNNNNNNNNNNNNNNNNNNNNNNNNNNNNNNNNNCUCUCCGUCCUUCCCUCUUCUUCCUCUUGCGCCCACCGACCCAUCGUCUUCUCCCUCCGUUGCCGCUGCAGCCUCGCCCUCUCCGUCGGUCCGUUACUCAUCUUCCAUGGCGUCUGCUUCGACCGUUAACCGAUGGCUGAGGCCCGAAGUGAGCCUCCUCAUCCUCCUAUCCUUUCCUUUUUUCCCCCUCUUCUUUAUUUCUCUUUUAUUCUCUUUCCCUUUUUUUUACUGUAGUCUGCUUGAGUUGUGGAUCUGGAUCCAAAACUCCAUCGGCUGUCUUCAUCUCUCCGCAGACUCUGAUUUAAAAUUUAUUUUUUUGUUUUUAAUCCUUUGUGUAGGUGUAUCCGCUGUUUGCAGCGGUAGGGGUAGCGGUGGGAAUUUGUGGUUUCCAGCUGGUCCGCAACAUUUGCAUCAACCCUGAAGUCAGGCAAGUUAUUGAUUGAUCUAUUAAUUUAUCGACAUUUGCUAUCUAAAAUAGCUUAAAUUGGCAAAUAAGAUUGGUUCAAACUUGUGUGACUAGUUACAAAUGGAUUUGAAAUAAGGUUGGAAACAUGAUAGAUCAAAAAUCUGUCAACCCGAACUCGAUGCAUUUAUUAAAUAGGUCAAAAAUUCAAAUCCAAAUCUGACCAUUUUGUUGAACAGAUAAUUUAGCUUUAUCUACAACAAGUUGAAAUAAGCUAAACGGCUAAAGAUUAAGCAUUGCCACCUCUAAUUUCACGAAGCACUAGAAAUGAUAUUAAUUAACCACCAAAUAUGUUUAGUUAACCAAGAACUUUGCUAUUAAAAGAUUUCAAGCUAUCUCCUUGGUAAUCGCCCCCUAGAAGGCCACAAAUAUUUUCCAAGCUUUGAAGCUAUUAAUACCCAGGGUUUUUUUGGUACAAUUAAUACCCAGGGUUUUUUUGGUACAAACCCAGGUUAGAAUCAACGCCGUCCUCUUUGUCGAUGCCAAGGCUAACAUCUGUGCAUGUUGGGUGUGUAUUGAGAUUUGGUGUGCCAUUUUCUUGCCCUCCCGCUAGAAUAGAAUGCCGCCAUCAACAUAGAAUUAUUGUCAACAUCGAUUAUAUUAAAACUAAGAAACAUAAAUGCAACAACAACUAACAAAAAAAAUCUGAUAAUCCAAAUCUGAUUUCUAGAAAAAAAUUGAGCGAGAUCCCAGAGGCAGGAGGGGGGGGGGGGUAUUGUUUAAGAAUUAAUCCAUAGGAAAGUUCCCUACCAAUUCAUUUCAUUUCAGUCAUCAACGAUUGCUCCACACUUCCCGGUAAGCUUGUUGGAUCAAGUAUAAAUACACAGGUCGAUAUAAAUCAAUAAUCCAAUGAGUAAUCCAAAAAUAGGUUAUGCAUAUGAAAACAUAAAUAAGCGUCAUGCAUCCAUGGUUAUUUCAUAUAGUCAACAUAUGCAUUUUCUCAAUGUGCUGGUUUAUUCUAAAUUCAUUUUUAGUUUGGAUACAAAACAACAAUACAUAAAUAAUCAGCCAGUAUUUGUAUAAAAAACUAUUAGGAUUUGUCCAUACCAGUAUUUGUCACAUAUUGACCUAACCCAUUUGCAGCCGUAGAAACAAGAACCAAAUGCUCUCCCUAGCAAGGCUUCUAACAAAAUUCAAAAAUAGGCAUGAAAAUAUCAUCUACACGCAAGCAAAAAAACCUCGAUGUAGGAUGAGUUUAAUUUCAGCUCCAUCUAUAUCAAUCCUAUAAAGCCCUUAUCUACCAUUUAGGAAUAUUCUGGGCCAUCCUUGGAGAGUGGAUUCCGAUCCCAUAAGCAAACCAGGCCAAAAAAGUUGGUGGAUGUUUGGCCUCUCUUUCUUUCUUUCUUGUUCACUCAGAAACCCUAUUAUCAUCGCCAAAAUUUUGACAGUUUGGUGGGCUGGCUGGGUUGGCCGAAAGGUGGGUAGCUAGAUGAAGCUUGAAAUUGGUUCUUUGGAGUGGAGGGGUGGCUAAUAGUUGGAAAUCAUGGUCGAGUGAGAUGGUGGUAGGGAGGAGAAGGGGAAGGGGGGGCUGCCGAAAUGUUGCAGUCUUUAGUUGCAUUUCUAAAGAAUUAAAAUUUCAACACUAAAGGUAAAAGAAAUCCAGGCUCUUAGAAUUAAAAUUGGUUCUUAGAGGAUUGACACUCACCAGUGCCAACUGCCAACAAUUGCAUUGUAUGUCCACAGAAUGUUCGAGAUGUUCAUUAAGGUGUUGGGUGUUAUUUCUUGAAACAGGCUUGGGAUUCCAUUGCCUCAUGUAAAUGCCCAGUGUAUUGGAUUGCAAGAGUUCUCUCGAGGAAGUUACUUGUUGGGGUCAGAACAUGCGGACAUGCAUGUCUAUUUAUGAACUCUCAGAAAUCAACACUACAUUAACAAAUUUCAAGAAUUAAAUCUGGAUUUCAGGCAUAAAUUGAGUACAGCAAGAAAAGCACAAGAAUCGAAGGCUUAGGAUACCAACUCUGGAGUCAUUAGUUAGUAUUACUUUCAUUUCCUUUCCAUCUUGAGGUAUAAGAGAUGUCCUUAAAGUUGGGAACAGUACAUGUCCUUUUUCUUUCCUGCAAGGGAACAUGCAGUUUAAUGUUGGUGAUAAAUAAAUGUAACUUUAUCACAUUUUCAUAUCAUUCAGCUUAUCUUGGUUCUUAUUCAGCCUGAGAUGUGAUGCAUUUAGUAAAAUUCAUUUCUUAUCGCAUCCAGUCCCCGGUCGGUUAUGAAUUAGUCAUCAUUCAUGCUUCGCUGGUUGACUUCUACAGGGUCAGUAAGGAAGGCAGGGCUGCAGGUGUGCUGGAAAACUAUGCUGAGGGGGAGACGUAUGCGGAACAUGGUCUCAGGAAAUUCCUUCGCACAAGAACCCCUGAGAUCAUGCCAUCUAUUAAUAGGUUCUUUGCUGAUCCAAAAUAAAGUGUGUGGAUCUGAGUUACCUGAAUUUUCAUGAACCUCCUCUUUCUAUUCUGCAUGCUUAAUUGGUGAAUGACUUUAUUUGCCUAAAUAAGAUGUACCUCAAGGAGAUUUAUGAUCGUCAAUAUGUCUGUUUGUUUAUGUGGUUUCUUCAAGAAGGAUUAAUCUGCCACUCUUGCAACCUUCUGAUUUUGCGAGUGUUCUAUGAAGCUAGCAGCCAUGAUAUCUUUUUUGCCUUCUAAAGCAAGUGUUUGUUCUGAGAAACCCCUGGAUCAUAAUUCGCUUGACUUAUGGAGCCUAGUUAUGGUUCCUGACAUACUUUCGAACUGACUGUAGAUGAAAAACUCAUCACAUUUUACUAUCCCGAUAAAUGAAUUUCCUUGGUGUCUACAGAAACAGAGAUACACUGGUUGGGCAUUAAAACAAGGCCAUAAGCAAUGUUUCUGAAGAGCUCUUAAAAGUUAAGAUCCAACAUUUUAGAUUUUGGGAAAUUUUCACUGCUAUAAGUCAUUGAUCUUUAUUACACUAGCCUCAGUAUUAACUGGACUUAUAAAUGAUCUGAGAUAACUUGGCAUACUAGGCAAUUGACAAUGGCUUGUGUUUGCACCCGAUCAUUGACCUUGCUUAGCUAUUUCUUGAAUUCCAAUCCAUGGGUCAAUUAUUUCACCUAGGUAAGACGGGAAUUUUACUCAGUCAUGCAGAAAACUUUGAAUUUGAAAUCAAGCAUUUUAUAAAUGUCACCGAUUAUUUGAAAAACCAUUGCAUUAUAUAGGGAUUAUCCAGCUAUCAAAAAUUUUACCACAUUGGGUUUUAAAAAAUUCUAAAAUCAAUGAAUUCCAUGAAAGCACUUUAGCUUUUCAUAAAAGUCGUUUUGGAAAAAUUGGCAAGCCAUAAAACCUGAAAAAUAAGUUCCACGACAAGCAUAUCUUCCCCGCAGAACUCAUUUUCAUAAGACCAGGCUUGAUGAUUAUAAAAGUCGCAAACAAAAAGGCCCGUAGGGUUCCAUAUCCACAUUGCUCAGUAAGUUCUUUUUUUGUUUGGAAAACAAAAAGACUUAAAUAAGAAUCACACCACAACAGAAAGAAACAAAUAAAAUGUGGAUUCCUUUAGUGAUAAACAUUAGCAAGAGGCAAUUCAGAGUACUGCAAGAGAAAGAAAGAUAAUAUACCUAUAGAGACUUUCCAACAUUUAUAUAGCUGAUGCUUCGAUCAUAUGAGAACCAGAACUCAUAUACUGAAAAAGUCUGGUAGCUAUUCAAGUGUAAGAAUUAAGAAGUUUGAUUAAGUUACAAGAGCAGACUGAUAUAAUCCAUAAGUAGAACCACCAAAAAUGAACUGUAAAUAAAUUGUAGUGACAGCAUUCUGGGUUCCUGUAUCGAGAGAAUACUAAGCAACCCAAAGCCAUCGACCCACAGCUUGUAUUCAUGAAACAAUAAUCAUUGUACAGGUUAAUGGGUUAUGUGAGCAUGAACAUAGCAGCAGGGGUCAGCAUUGUUUUACAAAUGUUGAUUAAUGACUGACUUGCAUGGCUGUUGUAAGUUGCUGCUGCCUUGAGCUACUUCUACAUACCAUGACUUCCAUGCCUCCAUGUAAUGUGCAAAAAGUUCACUCAGUGCUGCAAACGAAGCAUGCGACAAAUGGUCAGACCAAUGCAAUCCCAAGAUUGAAAGUUUCUACUAUUUCAGAAUUGAGAACAUUGCUAUUACAACAAGAAAUGAUAAAUGGUCCGAAUAAGCAGAUUAUAGGUCUCACCCUCGCUCUAUGUUGACACUCAUAUAAAUGAAUAUCAAGAGCAUUGUUUAACCAUUCUGUUCUUUAUAAUUGCCAUGAAAGGUUCAUGCUGUGGUUUUCUUUUCAUAUUUAGGUUUUCUUCCUGUUAGCCCACAAUAAAGGGAAGCCCUCGUAACUAAUCUAAACAAGCAGACUGUUUGAAAAGCAAGUAAAGGGGGAUUGUCCUUUUACAAAGAGGUGAAAACCUGAUGCUCCAAAGAGAUGGAUAAAUUGGGGGUUUUCUGUUUCAUCAUAGGAACUCCCGGAAAAAAAUUCAAGCCAUGAGUCAGUUCAGUUUCUGACCAAUCAGCACUAAACAAUAGCUGUUAACCCUCCAAGGAAAAGAGGAAAGCGUCAAAUGAAUCAGACUUAUUCUUUCACCUUAAGAAGCACUACUAACAAUUGCAUUCGCGCUAACAUCUUUCAACUAAACAAUAAAGGAACUAAAUCUCAUUGAGUUAGUGGGUGUGGAUGAGAUUAUAAACACAAAAGUAAAGGUAAAAUAUAUUCAAAAGGAUAGAAUCAUGAGUGCAGUUUAUUAAAUAAAUAACAUAAUACUCAUGAAUAAACUUCUGACAAGUUGCAAGGGGUUAAAGCCCAGCGCACAUAGACUACGUGUAACUAGGAGAAAAGUUAUUGACACCAGAAUCAGAGUACUUUCAAGAAUAGCAUAACACUGAAAGAGGUUUUAUUGAAGACAGCUCGUCAAUAUCAGCCUAUAUGUAUCUGUGAUGACAGCACUCCGAUCUCUUUAAAUUUUUUUGCCAUGAAAAAUCCUAAGAUUAGGUUUUUGUUUGGAGAAAAGCUCUGUGGGCCACGAAGAAUUUGAGAAUGACUGCAACAAUCAAUACCCACUUAAGACAUGAAGAUGAUUGAAUUACAGGGGAAAAAAGGUUGCAAACAUCAAGAACAUGAAAACAGAUAUGCAAAUGUGUGCAUUUGCACUCUAUUUCAUAGGUGUUAACAAGAAAACUGGACCAACUAAGAAAAUUUUUCUAAAGUUCCUGGAACCAAGUACAGUUUGGAGAAUGUAAAUUUAUAAGCACCAGAAGAGUGCUAAGUUCAGCUCCAAAGUGGAGAGCUUAAAGGAACUGACACGAUUAGGACCCAUCAGGACACAAAAAUUGUUGCAUAGAACAAUUGAAUUGAGAUGAAGAAUACAGAGAAAUAACAGCAGUUUCAUUUCAUUAUGUAACCAAUCCAAUAAGCACAAACAUCAUAAAUAAAAGAAAAAUUCCCAGACUUUUCCCCAGGAAGAACAAGCAAGAUAUAAACUUCUAAUAAGGAAACAAUAUUAUUUAUAGAGAGUAAGCACAUGUAAUCGGAAAACUGUAACAGAACAAGAUUGACAAUUCAGAGUGAACAAGACAAGGGAGCAAAGUCAACUUAAAUCAUCGAGGAAUUAUUGAGCAAACCUUGGUUGUGAUAUUGUGGUCUGAAGGAAGAGGCCAGGCUCUCCCAGUCCUGAACUUUGUUCCCACCUUUCUCCUCAACUUCACCAAUUCUUUUAGUCACUCCAGCUGGCCGGAAAGGCCCAAAAACAUAACCGCCCUUGGAACUCUGUAAUUGCUUCUGUGCUGUCAGAUUGCAUUCCUUCAAAUCAUCACUUCUCAAGCAUGCUUUACUGGGCUUCUUAUCAACCGGGGGAUUCAACUUGCUCCUCUUAAGGUCCACAUUGGUAAUGUCAUUUCCGAAAGCUCUCUUGUUCCACUGCUUUGUACCUUGGGGUACAGCAACUGUGACACCAUUAUCUGCCUUUGGUUUCCCCUUAGUUCCCAACCAUCGGAAUGCUGGCUUCCUUGUAUCCAAUUGCUGUGUCUGAACCCAAUUUAACAAAGGGAAAGAUAUGUAAGAAUUAUAUUUUAUUUUACCUGAUCUUACUUAGUGUAGCUGUUUAUAGUACCUUUUCGAUGAGAUUCAUGGAAGAAAGAACAUUUGCGAUGUCAUACAGACGCCGGACUUUAGCUGCAUUGUUAUCUUAAGAUGAGACGAUCAGUCACCGAAGUUAGAAGAGUUGGAAAUUAAAAGAGAAAUAAACAGUUAAAGCCAGAACAGAAAGGUUUAGUACUUCUCAUCUGAGAUGAGUCGUGGCCAUCACCAAGCAGCAGCCUUGCAGCUUCGUCAAGCGAGACUGUGUCUGCCUGUUAAAAGGAUGGGUUGUUAGUCAAUUACUGAGAUUAAAGAUCAAUAAGGCACAAAGGCAUUCCAAGAGUUCUAUAAAUAUGUGGAAUAGAGGCGGUGGUAGGCUUACAUCUGUGGUAAGGAAGAGCUUGACAAAAUUCUGGGUUAGCAGGCCCAGCGAUUUCUCCCUUCUAUUGUCUGUGACUGGCAUUCACAUCAGAUCCGAAGCAGAAUAAGAUUGUCAGAUCUCAGAGACAAUCCAAGGACACGGUCUUUAUAAAAUCAUAUAUUAAAUAAAAGGAUCGAAGUACUAUAAGGAAUCAUACCAGAUCUCGCCUUGCAAGCAAGGUUGCACGAAGACGGAGCAGCACCAACAGCAGCUGGGCUCACUUUGUAGUCACCAAAAUUUCCAUUAUGAUCUUCUUCAUCCUCCAAAACCUUCCUUUCCCCAAGGAAAAGAGAAUAAAUAGAAAUAAAUCGAUGAGAAUCGUGAGGAUCACCAAAAGCCAAUCUAAAUUUGUUGAUGUCAUGGACUACCAACAAAAGAAAAGAAUAGCUGACCUACUUUUACACAUUGGCCAUCUGUGCCAGACAUUUCCUUUAAUGCCUCCUCCUAAUACAGAUCAAGAAAAAAAAACUCCAAUUUUUGGGCACAGUUCAAGAAUUUGGCACCAGCUUGAAUAAUCUCAAAGAAUGGGAAGAUUAUAGGGGCAUAGACGAGCAAACCUUGAGGUCAUCCAAGGCCUUCGGGAUCCCUGAAAACCCUAUCCAAGAAUACCGAUUCUUGGCCUUCCUCGCAAGAACCUAAUCAGAUCAAAAGCAAUUCUUUUACUAAAUUCCAACCAGAAAACCAAAAAUAUAGGAUCAAGAUGUCUUCUUGUUUCAAAGAAAACAAGAAGGAAAUCCAGAUCUCACCCCCACACUCUCCAAUACAUUGACGAUAUCAUAGAUCCGCCUCCUCUCAACGCCCAGCCGUCUUGCCGCAUCAUCCAGACCCACCGACUCCACAUCAUCCCGAUCAUACAAGCUCACGAAACUACAAGAAUCCACCCAGGAAAAUUCAGGAAAAAUGUUUAAAAAAUCAAAAAAGAAGCAGAAUCAUGGGAAAGACUUUUCAAGGAAAGACUACUUGGAGCACAAGAGGCCCAAUGAUUUCUGCUUCCUGCUGUAGGUGUGAUGCCUGCAUCCCGACUCCAAGAAGGGUGAAGGAAGGGAAGCCAUCCCUGCUUUCCUUUUUCUUCUUGAGAAGAAGGAAGAAAGAGAGAAGGACAAAAAGAUUUGAGAUCAGGAAGAAGAGAGGAAUAGGACCCGAUCUGAGGCUUCGAUCUAUAAAUCAAGGAGAGGGGGAGGGAAUAACGACCGUUAAAAUGCUAGGGCUUUGGCGGGUUGGGCGAUUUGGAAUUUUUUCAAAACAAUUGCUCUCCGCUCCGAGUUCGGGCGCUCGGCUCGCUGGGUUGGGGGGCCCGCACGGGGACGCGGGGAUUCAAAUUUUCCGCUUCCCGGCGCGCCAACAAUUUUUUCGGACUAUAAUAACCCUGUUCUUUCCAGAAAUUACGACGGAUGAUUAUUUUGUUGCCAAGGAUGAGGUGAUGGGCUUAGGGGUUCAAUGGUCACUUCAGAAAUUGGAAACGGCGAGCCUUUCAAGGGAAUCUGUGGGGAAUUGCCGCGGCACGUGAUUGGCUCCAAGCCGUUGGUUGCCCGCGCUAUUUUUUUUCCCUCAAACGAUAUUUAAUCUAGUCCGUCCGAUCAGGUGGAUGACUCAAGGGUAAAGCUCCAUUUAAUUCUGGGGAUCAGUAGUAGAUAUCCUACGAUGAAUAAAUAUAGUAGGGAUUUACAUCCGCACAGAGAGAGAGAUUUACUAACGAGUAUUGUUAUAUAUUAUUGAUCAAUUCACCAGUCUCACGUAGCAAUCAAAAAAUGGUGCAGUAUAGAAGAAGAGGUCGACAUCAGGCAAGAUUCUCGUAGGAUUUAUUCAAUCAACUACUAUAUAAAACAAGUGCACGUGAUAAUAAGAAUGUCGACCUUCCUCAUAGGGAGAUACGAAGGGUGACAUGAAACACUAUAUAUUAGCUUGCAACUUUCCUAUAUUGCUGAGGAACGAGAAAUAUCUCACAUCAAGUUGGGUCCAACAUAUCAUUCACGUCGGGUAAGAUAUGGAUCGGGUUGAAAACAUGAUAGAUCAAAAAUUUGUUAACCCAAAUUCGAUAUAUUCAAAAAAUGAGACUUUUUUGAAGGUAGCCAUGUGUAGGCCUUUUCCGAAUGGGUCUUCGUAAGCUUCUAUGGCAUAGACUCCCUCUGGAUUGGAAAUUUGUCUUCACUCAGAGCUGUGCAUCCUAUCUGUCUGCCAUAUCUUUCCCCAAGAUCCGUUCCUAUUAAAUAGGUCGAAAAUUUAUCCAAAUCUAAUCAUUUUGUUAAACAGAUAAUUUAGCUUGAUCUACAACAAGUUGAAAUAAGCUAAAUGGUUAAAAGUUAAGCAUUGCCAUCUCUAAUUUUACGAAGCACUAGAAAUGAUAUUAGUUAACCACCAAAUAUGUUUAGUCAACCAAGAACUUUGCUAUUAAAAGAUUUCAAGCUAUGCCCUUGGUAAUUGCCCCCUAGAAGGCCACAAAUAUUUCCUAAGCUUUGAAGCUAUUAAUGCCUACAGUUUUUUUUGGUACGGACAACAUAUGCAUUUUGUCAAUGUGGUGGUUUAUUCUAAAUUCAUUUUUAGUUUGGAUACAAAACAACAAUACAUAAAUAAUCAACCAAUAUUUGUAUAAAAAGCUAUUAGCAUUUGUCUAUAGCAAUUAGAAACCCCUUAACACCGCAAAAUAUAAACAACUUGAUAGAUCAGCAGCUCCAACAUGGUAUGAUUAUUACAUAUCAAAAAUAUAAGAUUUGAAAGGAGAGGUGUAUUAAUACAUAGAGUACUUAAAGAAACUUAUGAAAAUUAUUACAAAAUUUAUGAAGAAUAUUCGAUCAUGGAUCCUAACCUUUUUUGAACGGGAUAUGAAGAAUUUGAAACUAAAUUAUCUUAUUAAGUUUGGAUUCAGAUCUUGCCUCGAUCAGACCUAGAUCUGGCCCAUUCAGAUCCACAUUUUUUGGAAGAUUCACAGCCAUUGACGCUAAGGUCUAAAUCAAUUAUCUUCAUAAUCUACAUUUUUGUUUGGUUAUCAUUCUUAAUGGAUGUUUAAAUCCAUCUUACUAAAAUAAAAGAGUAAAUUACAAAAUCUCUUUUAGGUUUACAUUUAUUAUACUUACAUCCAAUAGUUUGUAAAACCUACACAUAAACUCAGUUAAAUAAACAGUAUCAGUGAGUUCGUUUACAUUAUAUGAAAAGUCAAAAUUGCCCCUGAGUGAUGAGUAAAUUACAAAAAAUCUUUAAGAUUAGGAGUAAAUUAUACUUACAUCUAAUAGUUUGAAAAACCUACACUUAUCCCUCUGAGAUUUAUUUUUAUGCAAUACUUUAAUCCAUAACUUAACAAAAUGUUAGCCAAGUCGUUAACUUAAAUGAAACCUAAAUGCCACAUCAGAAAAAAAUAGAAACUAACCAAACUAGCCUUUAGUGAUAUAACAUUCACCUGAGGAGGAGAACAACCAUGAAGCGCCAUAGCUUUGGAGCUUGAUCAUAAUGAAUCAUCAGAAAAGAAUUAUGUUCUAAGAAAAAGCAAUCUAAAUCUUUCAGAAAAGUAGAUGCCUUUAAAAUUUUCUAAUGCGGAAAACUAGUAUCAAAAGUUUUGUCGCUUGAACUAGCCUGUUGAUCAUUGAUGGUCUAAGUCAGGUUAGGAAACUGCAAUUGAUGCACCCUCCAAAAAGAAGAGUUCUCAUGCACGUACUAAUUCGAAUUCUUUUGAUGAUAUACUAUUAGAGCUAUCAUAAUUCUAUAUAUAGAUAUGAGAAUCUUCAUUUACAGCAAUAAUGUUAAGGAAUCAGUCUACAGUAUUAAAAAGUAUAACUUAAAAGACGCUUAAAGAUGUUCAUAGUCGGAUACCGAUUAAGAAGGAAGCUUGUCGUCGGUUGCUUGUUGAAAAGAGACGCUCAUGGCGGGGUGGCAAAGCGAGAAAGAAACUUUAGCCACUCAACCUCGGGGAGAAGAAGACUCUUAAAGAUGGAAAACUUUGAAGAUAUCGAAGAGUUGAAAAACUAAAAGAUGAGACUUAUUUUUUCAUAGGGAUGAUUUUGACUUUUUGCAAUAAAUAAACAGUUUCACUAAUGCUGUUAAUUUAACUUGCUAUAACUGUAGAUUUUACAAAAUAUUGAAUGUACGUGUAAUAAAUACAAAUCAUAGAAAGAUUUUUAUAAAAUUAUUUUAAUCGUUUUAACUUUUUUUUGACGUGGCAUUUAAAUUCUAUAACAAGUUAACAGUUUGACUAACAUUCUGUUGAAUUAUGAGUUAAAGUAUUGAAUAAAAAUAAACCUUAGAAGGGUAAGCAAAAAAUUUUCAUACUAUUGGGUAUAAAUAUAAUUUACUCCUAAUCUAAGAGAAAUUUUUGUAAUUUACUCAAAAUAAAACAACAUUAGCACCAAAUAAUUAGCUAUCGAUAUUGAAGACAACAAAAGUGAAAAUCAUAAAGGUAAGAUAUAUCAAAAUGAUAGUUGAUUAUCAUAUACAUAUAUCUCCUUUUUUUUUUGUAAAUUUUAAUGCAGGAACAAUUUGAUAGGAAGGUUUCACAAUAAUCUGAUAUUCUGUAACUUAGCUAUAGAAUACAUAGCCAUCCAUUAACAGCCAGAUGGAAAAUAACAUAGAAAGAGAGAGCCUUUUUUCUCAGUGAUAGCGAUACAUAUCUAUUGUUUUUUCCAUUGUUGUACAGUUCCAUACAUAACUCACAACAAAAGGAAAACAGAUUUUGUAUUUACAAAAUCGGAGGAAUGGUGGAGGUGGACAAUUCACUGAUGAACAGAAUUACAUUCACCGGCAUUCCAAUAACCUGUAUCUGGCAGCAAAUCAGCACUGGAAAUUUAUAUAAGCAUCUGCUGCAAAACCUCAUAGGAAGCAAUCGAAUCUUUUGAAGGCAUCUGUUUGUGUUAGAUUUUGAUUCAUUGAGAAGGACUAUGUCUGAAACCAAAAUGUUUUUCACGUUGCAGUUUAGCUUACAUUUUCAGUCAAAGCCUUGAUGAGUUCAGCUCGAGCUUUCUCCAGGGCAUCUAACAGUUUCUCAGGCUUCCUCCCACCAGCUUGGGCAAAAUUAGGCUUGCCACCACCUCCUCCACCACAAAGUUUAGCUAUACCUCCUAUAAAUUUCCCUGCCUGAAUUCCCAUUCCAACGACUCCAGGACUAAAUGCAGCUACCAAGCUUACCUUUCCAUCUCCUGGGCAUGACCCUAGAACCACAGCUGCAGGAUCAUUAACAAACCCACAAGAAAUUCAGCAGCACUUUUCAGAGCAUCAGCAUCCAAGUCAUCCAUACUCUCAACGACCACCCUAGAGAACAAUUUAUUUUUGCUCUGUCAGAUUAGUGAUGAUAGAAAGCAAGAGAUGAUGGGAAGUUAGCAGUACCUGACAUUUGAGCUUCCAAUUAGAAACGCUUUAUUUGCAAUAAUUGAUGCUUUCAGUACUGCAAUUCUAUUGCGCAGAGAUGAAACUUCAUUCCUAGCCAUCCUUAGCUCCUCCAAGAUGUUUUCCACUCGACCAGUGACAUCUUCUGCUUUUACCUUGAAAAAGAAAAUGAUGAAAUGUAACUCAUGAACCAGAGCAAGUAGACUUUGUACUCUUUAACAGAAAUCCACGAGACCAUAUAACAACACUAGAGAUGCAGUAGCACUUGUAUCUUUUCAAACAAAACCAUAAGGAUUAAAUUCAUCGAUUUGAUUUGAGUGUCUCAGCUGUAGUCAAUGGUAUAUCCACAUCUCAACCAACCAUUUUUAGCUAGGAGUAUGAUCAUAUGAAGAAUAUAGGAAAAAGAAGUUGGGGGGAUUGUAAGAGUCCAUAGUGCCCUCAAUUUCACAUUGGGAUAGCAGAAAUCACCAUUUUAGAUGAAACCCCGCAUCUCACAAUCUCAACUUUCCAGGAACAACAUCCUCCACGGGUUCUUCCUCCUCUCUUUUCCUUUCACAGCAACUCCCACACAAAAGGAUACCUCAUGGUUAGGGUGAUUGCACAUUGAAACAUGCCCCUAAUUUACAACCAAUGCUGCUCAUUGAGACGAAGUUACUUUCUAUAUUAGUAUCAUAUCAAGACAAAGUUGCUUUCUAUGUUAGUAUCACACUAUUUAACGAGAAGGAAGAUAAACAUCAUGAAGAUCACCCCAAGCAUCUCAAAGGAGAGCCCUUUCCCAUCAAAAUGGGCACUGCUAUGGGUACAGCUCUAAGUUGGGAAGGAACCAUGGAAAAAUUGAGCGGAAGCAAGGUUUACUGACCUAUACCAGCUGAUACAAGAGGCAACAUACAGACCUGGUACAGGCUGGUAGAUACAGAGGCUUAGUAUGUCCCCAUACUGACACAUGGUACAGGUACUAUGCUACUCCAACAGCAUACCAUGCAUCGGUAUAGGGGCAUACUUUAGAAUACUGACCUGUACCAAUAAGGUAUCAGCAUAGGGUCCAAUUGCAAGACUCGAAACAUUAGGCAGAAUAUUAUAACCAUCAACUAACAUCAACUCCUUAAGAUUGGCUUCAAAUUCUUGGAAAGACAAUAUUAGGCAUGAGAUUGGCCCAUCAUUAAACCUAAAAAAUCAUAUCAGUAGGAGAUCGAAUUCAAUGGUUGCAUCUUAUGCUUAUCCAACAGGGGAACAGCCUUCUAAAAUUUCCCUAAAUUUGGAAAGUCCAGUCAAAGAAGGAAUAUCACAAGGUCUGUUAGAAGGAACUGCAUGUGUCAGAGGCACAUAUGAAAAAUUGGGCAGAACACAGCUCUGCAGAUGGUAACAAAAAAAAAAAAAAAACGAGAUGAGCUAAUGGAGACCUUGAGCGAAAACAUACUUUAAGUAUGGAGCACAAAUGUCUCAUAUGGUUGUCUCGAGCGGUGACAUAUUCAAUAAAAGCUUCACCAGCAACAGCUUCAAUGCGCCUGAUUCCAGAUGCAAUUCCCUGUUCUGAAAUUAUUUUAAAGCCACGAAUCUCUGAAGAAUUACUCACAUGUGUCCCACCACAAAGCUCCAUUGAUACACCAGGGACCUCUACAACUCUCACCUACAAAACACCACAUUGCACUUCAGGAGCCAAAAAAAAUAAAAGAGAUGACAACCCCGUUCCCCCCCAAGCUCAUAACACAAAUCAGUUAAGGCAGAUCAUCAUGAGCAAAAAGCCAUUUACAUAUAACAGAAUGAUUUCAUGCAAUGCUUGAGCAAAAAACUAAUUUAUAGAAGAACUCCAUUGAAUCUGACUGGCCCUUUUUUCAUCAUAGUAAAGUUUUCAUGACAUCAUCUUGGCUUCUUUAUUUUUAACAGUGAGUGUAGAAUUCAACAGUGGAUAAGAAAUUCAGACCUGUUCUCCAUAUUUUUCACCAAACAUUGCAAUUGCACCUGCUUUCUUUGCAUCAGAUAGAGGCAUAACUUUUGUUUGAAGCUGUGUUGCAUUGCUAAUCCACUGAUUUAUCAGUACUUCAAUGUCCAUUAUUUCAUGUUCAGAGAGUGGACGAUGGAAGUUAAAAUCAAAUCGAAGUCGGUCAAAGGCUACCAGGGAACCGGCUUGUGAUGUUUCCUUGCCAACGACACUUUUAAGGGCAGCUUGAAGUAGAUGUGUUGCAGUAUGGUGGACCUAAAAGAUAAGAAAAGUUGAUAUAAGAAAAGAGAUAUAAGUUAAUGAAUUAAUGUAAUAUUGCUAAGUAACACCUAGAUAACCUACCCAAUCUCUUAAUUACACCAGGAUAAAAAUGUGUAAAUACCAUUUGAUUCAUACCCUAGUUUAGAUGGAGCUUGAUAAUGGGAUAAUUCAGUCAAUUUUAGUUAAUGUUAUCAAAAGUGAGGAUUUUAUGUUGUUCAGUCAAUCAUCUAGACAAGUUAUAAUAGACCAUUCAAGACCCACUUUGAAAGUGCUAGGAGCCUAGGACCAUAUAAGAUGUUUAGAUUUAAAGAGACAUUUAGAUUUAAAUAACUAGAAUGAUAUAAAAUGCAAACUGAUAUAAUGGAGAUUUGUGAACUUUAGCAUCUUUGUAAAUUAUGACAGAAACAAAGUACCAUGUAUCAUGUCCUCACCAACCACUGACUGGUACUAGACACUCUACAUAAAAUGCACCAUACCAUGUAACAGUUGGCCCAAACCAGCUUAGAAAAUUUGAUAGGAGAUAAAUAGAUAGUGCACUAAAAUUAAUUAUAAAUUCUUGAUAUAGUUUUAUUUUGAUCGCUUUUCUGUUGAGAGGAAAAUAUGUUUUUUACAUGCAUAACCCAAAAUAAAUCUUGCACCAACAUCACCUAAACAUAAAAACAUAAUUAAACAAGUUCAAAAACAUCAAGCAGAGUCAUCAUGGCAGAUGUUACAUCAAGGAACAAAUAGCUCCAUGCUCUAGGUAUUUCUACCAGGGCCUUGAGAAAUGUUAUUCUAGAGUUGUAAACAAUUAAGGAAGAUAAUUAUUUUAAACUCAUUUCAAGUAAAUUCACACUUAUUGCCCAAGUUUGUAUAAGUUAGAAAAUCCUUUAUCUUAUCAUAAAUCCAGCAUCACAAUCUACUGCAGUCUCCUAGGACAAGAACUCCACUCUAGCAAUAUCUGUAAUGGACAUCUGAUAUUAGUGAUCAAUGCAUCUGAAAAGAUGGAACGUGGGCAAGAGUUUAGUGGUUUGAUAUGGAAAUUUGAAAACUUGAGAUCAAGAACCAGCUCAGCAUAUUGUAACUAUCAAGGAUGAUAUAUGCAGCAUGGAGAAAUUGAUCUUCCUUUCCCCUGCCUGGCAACCAAAUUUGAAGUACUAGGUCAAGUUAAACAUCUCCAUCUUAGUGGGCUACGGUGAAAAUUGCCGGAUACUGGAACUACAUCAAAAGAAAUUGCAAAGUUAAUUACAGGAAUUAAACUAAAGAAACAGAAUUGUUUAGAACAUAUAAUCAAAGAUGAAAGAUGCACAAAUCAACAGAUAGAAGGAAUCUGUAACUACUAUAAUGAUGCAAUUACUAAAUGGGUAUUAACAAAUGAACAUACAGCAGAAUAAACUUAAGAAACAAAGGCAUCAUGUAGAAGAACAAUUCUUUGACCAUUCUACCUUCGUAAUUUUCAACCUGAUUUUAUAUCAUAAGCAGCAUAUUGAAAUAUGCACACCCCCCCCCCCCUCUCAAGGACACAAUGUGGCAUGUCAGAAAAAUUAUGCUAAAAAUAAAGAUAAUUCUAAGAAUUUGAACUCAUACUUUAGCCCUCUGCCUCAAUUUUGCAUCAACUGCUGCAUCCACUUCUAAGCCGACUUCUAAUGUCCCCUCCUUUAUUGUACCUUUAUGAACGAAUAUAUUUCCAAGACUUUUUUGGACGUCCUUUAUUUCCACGAUUGUCUUCUGUUUUCUAUUUUCAUCUCCUAUGUAGUAUAAGUAACCAUUAUCUCCUAUUUGACCACCUGAUUCAGCAUAAAAUGGUGUCCUGUUCAACAUAAUUUCUACAUCCCUGCCUUCAGAAACAUGUGUAACUGGAUCACCAUUCACCAAAAGACCCUUUACUAUGGCACUAGCAGAAAGGGUGUCAUAUCCCAAAAAUUCAGUGUCAGGAACACUAUUCGCAAGCUCCAAUUCAUUUCCAACUGAAAGUUUGACCACGUUGUGAGCAGCUUGAGAUUGUCGUCUUUGAUUUUCCAUUUCAAUAUCAAAUCCCUCCAUAUCAAUGCUAACUCCUCGUUCUUCAGCAACUUCAGCUGUUAUCUCUAUUGGAAAACCAUAGGUGUCGUACAAAAGGAAUGCAUCUUUCCCAGACAGACAAGGCCUAUUACCAUUUUCACCUUCAUUUGAUAAAGCAUUAGACAGAAAUUGAUCCAGCAGCUUUUCUCCUCUCUCUAAAGUCUGCACAAACCGCAGUUCUUCUCUCCUUAACUCAUCAAGAAUAAGGGUCAUCCUUGAUUUCACAUCUGGGUCAAUGUGGGUGCUAAGUUCUAUCACUGUCCCAGCGAGUACUGGUAAAAAAGCUCCUUCAACAUCCCCCUGACCAUUGCCUUUUAUACCUAGCAACCUACCAAUUCGAACAACUCUUCUUAUGAGUCUUCGAACUACAUAACCUCUGCCAAUAUUUGAUGGAAACACCCCAUCUGAUAUCAGAUAAACAAUAGCGCGCAUAUGAUCUCCAAUAAUCUGGACAGAAUGAGGAAAAUGAGAAGGAUAAUCAUAAGAUAAUGAAGGGGAAUGGAUUAAGGGAUUGACAUAUGAUAAUAAAAUGAAUAAAUAAAAACUCUUGAAUGAAAUCAUACUUUAAGAUUGGUCUUUGUAACAUUAUCUGCUUUAGCAUAUGAGUUCUUUGCCAAAUUUGCAGCUUUCUCUAUAAUCGGAAAGAUCAAGUCAGUCUCAUAAUUGUUUGGAACCUGCUACAUAUGGAGAUGAAUUAGAUGAUAGUUGAAGGUGUAGAAAUAAAAAUUCACAAGAAAUAAGACAAUUAUAAUAAAUGAAGCAUACUUCUAUUCUAAUUUAUUAUAUAGCAUGAUUUCCUUUUAUAACAUUCGACAAAAGAAGAAAGAGUAAAAAGGUGUCCAUGUUCCUUCCAUUUAUCCAAUUUCUUAUAGAUAUGAAGCUCAUAAUGCUACCAAAGAUAUUAGGACAUCACCUUGCCCCCUCACCACGAGGUGUGUAGCAUGUAAGAACACAUUGAUGAAACUGUACCAAAGUCCUAAUUAAUUCAAUAUUAAAUGGUACUAUUGCAGAUACAUCUACUUCAUGAUACCAUAGGGAGAUUCAUUUAAUUUUCAAAACCUUUGCAUUUGGACUUGAUUGAAAAAGCAGUAUAUUAGUCAGUUGGCAGAUGCAGAUCUUGUUGCUAAUAGCAUCUUCAUAGUUAAUGCUUCCAAACAGCCUGUAAGAUCUCAGAUCAUCUUACUGGUAUAUUUUGUAGUGCACUAUAUCUAAUGAGUAUCAGGUAGUCAAUCAAAGAGAUACAGUAUUGAGAAUUUCUUCAAAUUCAUGUUCACAAAUGUGGAGAACCUUCAAGACAUAAAGCUAGUGACAACACCCCGGGUUCUCAUAUCAAUAGGUUCAUAACUAGUGGAGGAUGGAACAACUUCACCUUUGCGCAACAACUCAUAUUCACUCUUCUUCAAUCUCCUCUUCUAAAGUGAUAAAAGCAAGCUAUUGAUGAUUCAAUAGAAUAGUCAUGGUAGAUAACCACAGGUCGAGUUGAAUCUUCUCCAAACAGUGUUUAACAGAGACAACAAAAUAGUGAAAAAUAUUACAAACUAAGAGUGCAAUUGUAUAUAUCGGUUACCACAGGCUGAAGGAAAAAUUGGAAAGAAAUGGAGUAGGAAACACUCUAACAGAAGUAGAGUUGGGGAGAGGAGUUACCAGGAGUUUGUUUUUAGUGCUAUAAAUAGCAAAUCAUGAUUUUUCAGGAUAAUGGUGUAUGACGUUACCUUCUGAAGGAUCCGCGCCAUACGCUCGAGGCCCAUGCCUGUAUCUAUAUUCUUUUGUUUUAAGGGUUCAAGGGAUCCAUCCUCCUUUUUGUUAUAUUGCAUGAAGACCAGAUUGUAAAACUCUAUAAAUCUACUAUCAUCAUCCAAAUUCUGCAUGCAAGUUUAUAAAAUUGCUAAUUCAUUUGUGUAAGUAAACAAACAUUAGGAAAAAUGAUAAAAAAAAUUCUCGGUUAUUGAAUUAAAAUAAAACAUACGGCAUUAGAAUAUCCCCUCUCAGGAUGGAAAUCAUAAUAUAUCUCAGAGCAAGGGCCACAUGGACCGGUGACUCCACUGGUCCAAAAGUUGUCAUCUUCACCCAUCCUCUUAAUGCGCUCCUUCGGUACACCUACCUGAAGAGUGAUUAAAAAGCUAGGUAAGAUAUGAAAAUUGUUGCCAUAAAUAAUAGUUACAAAUGAAAUUCUCAAUCAAAAUAUGUUGUCAACCCUCUUUAUAGUCCUUUACUACAAUGACACAUUUAAUCAAGGUAGUGCUUCUAUCCAUUUAAGUCCAAUGAUAAAUAUUUUGACCAUCACAGUCAACCACUUGCACAUUUCGUUAAUUGCAGGAAUGAUAUUAUAUGUGGCUCAAAAUUAUUUGAAGUUUCAAUCAAGGUUUUAAAUCUCGGCGGGAUGGAGUGCAUUCCGGACGUCCCAACCCAUUCCUGUAAGAAAACAGGACCGGAACAAGAUCGGGACUCUGAAACCCAUCAACGCGGGGAGAGAAGAAGAAACAUGAAAGAAAGAAAGAAGGAAAGAUGAGGAAAAGGAAAAGGUGAAAGGAAAGAUGAAGAAGAGGAAAAGGUGAAAGGAAAGAUGAAGAAGAGGAAAAGGUGAAAGGAAAGAUGACGAAAAGGAAAAGGUGAAAGGAAAGAUGAAGAAAGGGAAAAAGUGAAAGGAAGGAAAGAAGAAGAAGAAGAAGAAUAAAAGAAAGGAGGGAAGGGAGAAGGAAAAGACAGAAAGGAAAGAAAGAAGGAAGAAAGGAAAGAGAAAGAAAAAGAAAAAAAGAAAUGAAGGAAAGAAUACAAGAAAGAAAAUGAAAGGAAAGAAAGAAAGGUAGAAGAAGAAGAAAGCAAAGAAGGAAGGAACGAAAUAAGAGAAAAAAAAGAAAGAGAAAGAAAGGAAAGAACAAGGGGAGAGAGAAGGAGGAUAUCUACCGGGAUGCAUGAUUGGAACUGCUGCCGGGAUGGGUUGGGACAACGGGGCAUCCCGUUCCAUGGAGAAACAAGGACACCCUGUCUCACGGGAUUUAAAACCUUGGUUUCAAUCAUAGCGUCGUUCUAAAAAGCAGUCCUAGGUGUUCUACUUAACCCCCAAGAUCUGACUCUCCUAGGCAACUGCUUCAACAGUAACAAGAGAGGUAAAGGAAAAGAGGAGAAAAUGAAAAAUUAGAGAAAGAUGGGAGAAGGGAAAUGCUGAAAAAUUUCAUCACAACAAUCUAGCAAUUUGUAGAAGUCAACAGCUAAUUGUUCACUAUGUACAACUCUAUGAAUCAUUUUUCGUACAUAUUCUAUUCUGUAAUAGUUCCUGAUUUUCUAAAUCUCGAUCUAAAUUUAAUCUUUUAUUUUCCAUAAAACCAUAAAUCUAGGAACUCAACUAGUUCUUUGGUUUUGUGCAUAGGAACCUCCCUGGUUGCCUCCUAGCAUGAAAACAUUGUGCAAUCAGCCACCACAUCUCUGACUACAUGCUAGCCACAUAUCCAUAACAUUCAAUUUUUCUAUCUUCGAUAAGUUUAACUGUCUGCUUCAUUAAGAGAGCUUCUAAAAAUUGAUUCACUUUUCAAACUACUGACAGUUUCAUGAUGUGUUUGCCACAUGCUUCUAAUAUCGCUGCAUGUUCAUAGAUACUUGAUUAUUUUUUGUUAAUAUCUCUUAGAAUCCUAUGCAUUAAGCAGCAUGCCAACAGUAGCUCAUUGCACAAAAUCUACAAGUAUAGAUAUAUGGUAGUCAUGGUAAGUUCUAGUUCCAUGGUGUACAACUGCCUUAUGAGUAGAACUUCAAAAUGUAGUGAAUGUUAAACAAGAUAAGAGCAUUGUAUUGAUGAUUUAUUAAAUCUAGUGAAUGUUAAAGAAUAUAACAGCAUUGUAAUGAUAAUUUAUGCAACUUGCCUCAUUAAGCCAUAAAGAGAAGGCUUCAUCAUCAUCUUCAAAAACACUAACCCACAGUCUCUCUGGAGGUAAUCCAAACCUAUAAGAAAGAGAAUGUCACAUUACAGCUAAGAAAGCAUUAUGACAGUAGAAACUCAUGAACUGAGUUUUUUUUUUUUAAUAAGAAAAGGUCACUGAUGACAUCUGAAUAACAAAUUUGGCAAAAUAAUGUCAACUCAAAACCAAAUGUUACAAAGAAUGCACAGCUAUUUAGCCUAAACAAGUAAACAUGGUUAGAGUUUCAUGAAAUGUGACAGUUCUAAACAUGAUUGUUGCGACAGACCACAAUAUACUGUCAUAUUUGACAGGCACAUAAGCACAAAACUAAGUGAUAAUAUAUAUUGCUAUGGAGCCUCUACAUGAUUCAUAAGCAUAGCACACAAGCACAAAAUUAAGUGAUAAUAUAUAUUGCUAUAGAGCCUCUACAGGAUUCAUAAGAAUACCUUAGACUGUAGGUCUUUAUUCAGGUGCCACCUCACACACACAAUCAUGUAAUAUUUAAGUAUGAUAUGGAUAAUCAAUGCAAAUGUCUAUAACAGAAAUCAUAUACCAGUAGCUUGAACAUUCCAUCCCACACGCGCGCGCGCGCAUGUGUCUAUAACAGAAAUCAUAUACCAAUAUCUCUAACAUUCCCUCUCAACUAUGAUCUACCGUGCACACGCUUAAAAUCUAAUUUGACUAGCAGAAAUCAUAUGAUAUGGAUAAGUAAUGCACAAAUAUGUCUAACAGAAAUCAUAUACCCAUAUCUCUGACAUUCCCUCCCAACUAUGAUCUAUCACCCACCUAGACCAGAAAGCAGUAAAAGCAUGCAAUAGUAUGAGUUCUCAUUAAUUCCAGACGAGUUACUUGGUAGACUGUUUGCAAGUAAUAAGCAGCAUGAUAAAAGUGCCCAAUUGAACUUGAUGGUGUAAAUUGCCAGAUUUGAAUAGAGAUCCAGUUUUUACAAGUAAUGAGUAGCACUAGUAGCAAAUAUGGUCCUCAUUUCCAAGAGAAGAUAAGGAAACCAAAUGACAGCACUUAUUGUAAGUCUUGCAUACUGUUGAAAACUGAAGUGCAAAGGCAAAUGUUUUAAUUCAUGCUAUCAGAAGAAUACUGAGGAGAAAUAGUGAUACACGCCAGACAGGAAACACAACUUCAAUAGCCAGUAUCAAGAAGAAGUCUGAGUAUCAUUCCAACACUCAAAGAAACUUGAAUAAAGGAACCAAAAAUGUUAUUGCAAAACUUAAAGAAACUCAAAAAAAUGGAAUCAACAACUCAAAUAAAGGUUAUACAAGUAAUGGUCCAUGUAAAGUAAUUAGCUCCAUACAUGUCAUUAAGGCUCAACUUAGCAAGUUCUGUUCUGUUGAUUGUGAUGAUUAAUCAUAACUUUUAGAAGCUUUUACAGACUGAUUAUCUAUAUGGAGCUCCAAACUACCAUAAGGUUGACAAUGGUAAGCGAUGUUUGUUCUCUAGAAAGUGCAAAUAUGCUGUAUAGACAAAUGCUUUUCCUUCAAUUAAACUACUUAAAUUUACCAAUAUAGAGUUCAUGGCCCAUCGAGAAUUAAAUUUAUGCAUACUCCUUGGUCGUAAGCUCCCAUGCCCAAAUAAUGGCUUCCUUCUUAAAGUAAUCGCCGAAGCUGAAGUUUCCAAGCAUCUCAAAAAAGGUAUGGUGUCGAGCAGUUUGACCCACAUUCUCAACAUCAUUAGUUCGUAUGCAUCUUUGGGCAGUUGUAGCACAUGGUACACGUCUAGGUUCCUACAUAAUGUGUAUUGACAUUCAUGUGUCAAAAAAAACUCAAAACAAUCGGAAAAUUCUAAAGGUGCGUUGUGCUUGAUGUCACAUAAUCAUACAAAAACUAAAGCAUUAUCCUUAUACAUCUAGCUCGAUAAUCAUAAUUAAUUUUAUAGAAAUGCUCAUAUUGUGCAAGAAUCAAAAUAAAAAAAAAAUUUAUUCAUCACAUGAUGCAGGAAAAGCAAAGAAAAUUCCAUUUUCCAAUGAUGAUAAAUCAAAAAGAAAAACAAAUGCAGGCCUUUUCUCCUUUUCUCAAACAAAAAAGAAAAAGAAAAAGAAAAAACACAAACAAAGAACUUCUAAUGAAAAGUUGAAAGGGGGAAUGCUAGUUGAGGGGAUUUAUAUAAUAGUGAGGGGAUUUGUAUAAUAGUGAUAUGGUAACUUAGAUGCAUCUAUAGUGGCACACAUGGGUGGAACAUUGACAUACUUCGUAUUUGGUUAAGAAGCUUAGUAUUGAUAAAAUACACCAGUUAAGAAGCUUAGUAUUGAUAAAGUGGAUAUAUUUCAUGUCUAGAUUGAUACCGAUUAAAAGAUUAAAGGCUUUCGUUACUGUCUCUUUAACCUUUUAAAAAUGUUUUAAAUCCUGUUGCAGCUAAAAGAAACUCAUUCUUGAUGAUAGGUAAGAAAUGGAAAUGGGCUAGCAAACACAGAUACCCAUUUUGCUUCCCAGUAUUUCUCAAUCACAUAGUGCUCUCAAGCGUGGUCAUUGAAAGUAGAUUUAAACUUUAAAUUACUUUGUCAAUUUUGAUAACUACAUUUUCUGUGCACAAAGGUUCAGACUGCCUAGCAAAAUUUUGAUGUUCUACUUCUACUCAUGAAAAGGUGAAGAUAGUUUACAACUACAUCUUCACUACUACUACUUGGUUCCCUUAGAGUUGGUUCCUUUGGCCACCUUAGUCGGUUCCUUUGGGGGGUCAUGUCCCAACUCUCAUGCGUCAAAAAUUUAAUUGCCUCUACUGUGAUUGCAAUUUUCUUUGAAAUGUUUUUAUGAAGACAUUGUUUAAUUUCAAAUGCUAUAUGUGGAGCAGUCUACUAGAAAGAAAUGAAAGGAAUUUAUGUGCUCAAUCAUCCUUAAGAUACUUGAAUUAAAAAAUGUGGUAACUAGGUUAUAAGCUCUGGAUAGAGAAAAAUUUCAUGUAUGUCAAUGAGCCAUAGCUAGGUGGAUGAGGUUGAGAUAUGCUUGUAGGAUCUUGUCAAACUUAUGCCUUAACAACUUAUAAGAACAUAAAAAAGACCCAUAAUCAUGGUCUACCGUACCGAUCGGUACGGAUUGGUACAGCCCAGUACGUACCGGUAUCGGACGGAACCGGUACGGUAUAGCUAUAUUUUUCGGUUCCGACUAUUCGCAACCGGUACCGGCCCGUACCGACCCGGCUCGUAUUGACCUCAAAUUUAUUUUGACUUUUGGCCCAAACCAACCG
This 80365-nucleotide long non-coding RNA is filed under the name Phoenix dactylifera (date palm). Its description in RNAcentral is "long non-coding RNA (PDAC_LNC003080)". Lineage: Eukaryota; Viridiplantae; Streptophyta; Magnoliopsida; Arecales; Arecaceae. The record is from RNAcentral.